GAGCAAGAGAAGGAAAAUCACUUUCUGUUUCCAACUUCCAAUGUCCAAAUUCUUCUCUUUCAUAUCCCACCAAUCCUGAUCUGUUGCUGUUUUAGUUUCCCCCUGCCAUGGAAACCAUCCUCUCCCCUUCUUCAUUCUGCCCGCUCUUCAACCCCAAGAUUUCAUCCCUUCAAUCCAAACCAACUUCCCUAUUACUCAGUAAAAGUAGCAGUACCAUUUGCUCUUGCCUCAAGAAACAACCAACUCAGUUAUCUGUUAGUGAUAAACAAUCUUCUUCAUCUCCUACAAAUUGGCUUUCUCAUGUCCAGCAAGGUCUUGCAGCUCUAGCAAUUUCUCUUGCACUCAGUUACUGCCCAAUCUUACCUACUCACUCUGCAUUUGCAUCUGAAUUUGAUGUACUAAAUGAUGGUCCACCAACAGAAUCAUAUGUGGUUGAUGAUGCUAAUGUUCUUAGCAGGCUCACAAAAUCCGACUUGAAAAGAUUGUUAUCUGAUCUUGAAUCAAGAAAAGGGUACCACAUUAAUGUCAUCACUGUCCGAAAACUCACUGUAAACCUUUUUACUCUGCCUUUCCCUUAAUUUCAUCAUUUUGAAUAUCUUUUUUCUUUUCCCCUUUUGGAAGACAUAAAAUGGAUUUUUUGUGUGAACUAAUUUGCUGUCUUUCACCAUGAAUUGCUCCUUGUUUGUCUUGUGUGAUGCUGAAUUACUUUACCAAUUUAUUAAGACUUGGAAUGCUCCACGUCUAUGUCUCUUGUGUCAAACAAGGAUUAGAGAUGGUUGGAAUAUUGCUUCCUUGGUGUUUGCCAGAAUCCGGACUUGUCAAAGAUUAGUCUCCUAUGUUUCAUUUUUGUUUAGUACUUUAGAUUCUUUUGACUUCCACUUCCAAGUUUCCUUGAGAUAAUGCAGUUCAUGCACUGUGCAUAUAUUUUGCACGGGGAACUAAAAUGAGAACGAGAAAGGUUUAAUAUGAAGUACCAAAUAUGUUGAAUUUGCAACAAUUUUACUAGACUAGAAGAAAUCUACAAUAUACCAUCAGAGCUGGAACAUUUCCCUUAACAUGCAUUGCAUGCAAACCAUUUUAGGUGCUAGGGUGAAAUUCAAACCUUAACAGUUCAAGUGAUACCGGGUGCUGUUAAGGGAAAGGUUUGUAAUUGUUCAUGUUCUUUGGUUGUAGAGCAAAGCUGAUGCUUUUGAGUAUGCUGACCAAGUUUUAGAACGUUGGUACCCUUCUCUUGAAGAAGGCAAUAAUAAGGGGAUAGUUGUUCUUGUCACCAGUCAAAAGGAAGGUGCAAUUACUGGAGGCCCUGAAUUUAUUCAGGCUGUUGGUGAUACUGUUCUUGAUGCCACUGUCUCUGAAAAUCUUCCAGGUAUAGUUCUUCUUUCUUCUUCUUUUGGUUCACUUUAUUUUCACUGCAUUUGUUUUUGCUGGUAGCAGUGCAGCUUCUGCUAUUAUUGCCAUUAUGUACGUAAACUAAAAAUACUGGGGCAACCUUCAUACCAAAAAGUUCAUGUUUCUUGGUUAACAAAAAGUGGAGAAAGACUUUCAUUUCUUACAACAAAGAAAAUGUAGGAAUGAGAACAUUCUGCCAAAAGGCAUUAUUUUACCACAGACGUUAUCAGACAGAAACCAGAAUAUUAUUUUCCUAUUACAUCCUGAAUCAAUACAGCACUAAUUUACCAAAUACAAUUAAUAAACUUCAUCUUGAUUGUGCCUAUAUUUGAUUGUUUAGAAUAGAUGUCCAAGUUUGAUGCCGUAGAUGAGCUAGGCUUCAAGUCUUAUACUGUGGAUAUGCCCUCAACACCAUUGCUUGCAUCAGAGAUUAUUGUAGGACUCCUAUUAUUUAUGGCAAAAGCUUUCCAAUAGGUGAUCAUGUCUUCAUUUUGCUUGGAAAUACUAGUUUAUGUGCCAAUUCGAUUAGAAAGUAGGACAUUACAUCUCUGGAUCCAAAAUACACCUGUCAAAUAUACUUCUCUGUGCCUCAUGGCCCUCAUCCCACUCCCCGGUCGAAGCAGGAACCGUUUCUUCGACAUGUUCGAUCCAAACGAAAUAACAUAAGAAUCUUAAAGGGAUUUGUAAAGGAAAUCCCUGGAAGUUUGGGAAACUUUCAGAAAUUAAGGUCCAGCUUAUCUGAGUCUGAGGUAAGACAAUGUGCGCAUACUGGCUUAAGCAAUAAAGCUCCUUCAGUCGAAAAUACAUUGUCAAACCUAUUUUCCAUUUCUCUUUGUUUAUUUAGGUUAUUUCAAUUAGAGAACCAAACGAAGAAGCUCCAUUGUGUACCCAUUCUUCAACUAAGUUAGUAGCUGCAGAUAAAGGGUCAAGUUCACGAGACAGAAACCGCGAUUGCAUGCAUACUUGGGUUUGGUUAUGGGCUUCAUCUUGGGUAUGCAACGUCUGGAGUCCGUCUCAGGGAUGAACAUUGCCCCAAAAUUGUUGCCUAUGUUUCUGCUGUUCCCUAGUCAAAAUAACCAAUAUCUAGAAUGAAGGAUAAGCUAAACGAUGCAUGAAGGACAACUUUUAUUUGUCAUGCCAACUGCCAAGCAGUUAAGAGCCUGCUAACUAUGAGCAUGUUUUUUUCCUUGAUGUAGUGCUAGCAACUGACGAGAAAUACAAUGAAGCAGUAUACAGCACUGCCAAGCGUCUAGUUUCUGCAAUUGAUGGGCUUCCUGACCCUGGUGGCCCCAAAUUCAAGGAGAACAAAAGAGAAUCUAACUUCAAAUCCAGGGAGGAAACCGAGGAGAAAAGAGGGCAAUUCACACUUGUUGUUGGAGGUUUAUUAGUGAUCGCAUUUGUUGUUCCCAUGGCUCAAUACUAUGCUUAUGUCUCCAAGAAAUGAACUGAUCUCAAUUUGUAGUUUUAGUUGGAUUCUUAUUUUGCUCAUAGCUGAGCAAAGAGGUAUAAAGAUAUUGUACAAAAUGGUCAUUGAAAAGUGACAAGACCCUAUCCGUCACAAUACUCCCACUUUUUUUCGCAACUUUAUUGAUGUUUUUCGUGGAACAAGACCGUAGUCAAGAAAACACUUAAAUUCUUUCUUUUUUUCUUCGCUUCGAACUUCCCUUCCAUUGAGAAAAUGACUUUCUUUAUUUCAGAUUCUUCAAUAAAUUUAGUUCCAUUACAGAAAAAAUGAGAAGCAUAUCUUCAUUUUUUUUUUUGGUUCUCAAAACUUGAGUUUAAGUAGGAAGGGCAUCUGAUCCGCAAAGGGUGGAUCAGAAUAUUUUCCAGUGAGAAUUUGGGAGGCCACAAAAUGAUUUGCAGCUUCAGUGUAAUGAAUUCCAUCCCAGUUUACGUAUUCAGUACUAUCAUUGCAUGCUUUCACUGUCACUGAUGUUCCAUUCAGAACCUUGGUUUGGCCACAGGUUAUCCGACUGUCAUAGUUCAAUGGUGGACCUCCUGUUCCACAGCAUACCAUUAUAGGUUGUUCAAAUCCUGCAAGUUUAAUGCAGUCACGCAAUCAAAUUUCUUUAUGCUGCAGAACUUUGUUAUGAAAUUACUACAUAUUCAUAAUUCUUGACCCCAUUCACUAGCAUCCACAGAUUACUUCCUAUUUAAUACUCCUUCGCCCCAUUUUAUUAGUCUUGAUUUCUAGUUUGAUUUGUCCCAAAUUAUUUGUCGUGGUCGUAAAAGGAAAAUAAAAAAAAGAAUAAUAUCCCCAUUUUAAGCUUCAUUCAAUUUCCAAAAAGAGCAGUAAAGUUAUGUUUCAAUAUUAAGUGCUCUAAAAUACUAAUGUAGAAUUGAAAAACAACUAACAACGUUUUGAAUUUUAGUUAAGAGCUAAUCAUGGAAAGAGUUUUAUAAUAGUUGAUCAAAAAUUAUAAAUUUCUUAAACUAUGUGCAAAGCUGAUAAUGACAAGUAAAAUGGAACGGAUUGAGUAGAAUUUAUUGUCCAAACAAAUGAUGUGGGGAUUCCACAAUUCAAAGACAGAUUGUAGUGGUUUGAAUUUCUUGAGUGUAGUACUGGUAACAAGUGCCUACCAACUAGUCCAUUCCACCUAAAAGUCUGAAACCUACCAUUAAUGAGUCACUGAAACUUGGAACUAAAAAAGCAGGAUAAAAUCUGUUUUCAAUGUUGUCUAGACCAUAAAGAAUAUUCAUUAGACUAUUAUGCCAGUAUUGUUAAGUUUAAAUUGAACCAACUUGACUGGAAGGUUAUGCUUUUGAUUUAACGGUCAAAAUGAUAGAGUCAAGAACUCGUUAAAGCUGAUAAAGAAUCCAAAAACAAUUUGACUUCAAAUGGGCAUCCUAUAAUUGCAGUUCAACAAGUAAUGAACAAUCUCUGAUUACACACAUUCUUUGUCUUCUAUUAUUGCUGUAGCCAAGAAAACUUUUUUUUUUUUGGGGUACUUAAAGGGUUGCUGAUUGCUUAAGAAUACUUAAAUCCGAAUGAUGGACAAGUAAUGAUUGGGACUACGUCCGAUGAAACACGUCUAUCAACUACCAAGCCCGCCUACACAUGUCCCAAAUAAAUUGGCUGAGGAUGCUGAAAUGCAAGAAAUUGGCUGAAAGAAUUUGCACAUUCAAUUUCCCUAAUCUAAUCACGAUCUAUAAUGUACCAGACAUAAAAUACUUAAGUUGAAGUUCUUUUAAUUUUGUAUCAAGAAAUAAAAGUUAGUUAAAACCUUUGGAUUCAAGUUAAAGUUGAGCAAAAUAUCAGGUGGAAAUAUAAGCAAAUAAAGGGUGUAAAAUACUGACCGUAUUUGGAGUAGUUGGCAAUGAGAUUGGAUUUAAUUGAGAAUAUAUCAACAUGUGUAACAUUUGCGUCUGAAUAUUGGCCUUGCAACUUCUUGCAAAGUGCAUAAAGCUGGAGGUUUAGAAGUUUGGAAGCUUGAUUGUGGGUGAUGACACAUCCAAGCUCGUCAAGCUUGGAUGGAUCAGUUCCAAAUUUGGCAAUAUUUUGAGCUAAGCAACCAAGAGGACCCGUGUUGUGAAUCCAAAAAUUCCUUGCUCCUUCAUCAUAUAAUUUCUGCCAAAGCAAACAAAAAAUCCACGAAGGAGGCACAUUUAGAUACGACAAAUUAUUUACAAUAUGAUUAUACGACAAUUACGAAUGAUAUACAUAGAAUUACUAUUGGCAUUUUUAAGGAAUAAAACUUGUGUUGUGCAAAAUAGCUAGACUCUUUAGAUACUUUCAUCAUGUUACUAAUUUGGAUGAGAACUUAGUUACUAUAAGUUUAUUAUAGUUCUAAAACUAUGAUAAUAUUAGUACAUGGCAUAAUUAUGCAUGCCAAGCUUGAUGCAGAAGAAAUUAACUAACAUUUGAGUGUGUUGUCUACAUUUUACCAACCUUAAUGCCAGCUUCAAAUUCUGCUAAAGUGGUUGGGAUUGAAGCAAUAAUUUGAUCGUAUGUCUUCGAAUAAAAGGCACCAGCAAGAUCAUUCUGGCCUAUAUCGAAAGUGUAAAGCCCCUUCUGGAAAACAUCUGCUGCUGGAAUAUACUUGUCUGCUUUCCUACCUGCAAUCGAGUCAAUCAAAAUUUACGUUACACAACUAAAUUGUCCUUCAGUACUUGUAUUUGUACUCGCUUGUGAUGCAAAACAUCAUUUUAACUUGUCUUUGAAGAUAUGCAUCUGUUCAACAUACCUUUAGGCUGAAGGUCAAGAACUCGGCUCUUGAAUCUGAUGAACUGGUCCACUUGAACCCCAAAUGAAAAUGGGCUAAUAGCAUUAGCUGUUGCUGGAAGUAUGGUAGAAGCAGCAACCGCGAAAUCACAUCCCCUUUUGAAACUCGGCGCACCGAUGGAAUCCAAGUAAGGAUUUAGAUAUGGAAGUUCCAGUGCAUCCACUGCAAAAUGGAGAAAGACUUCCUUAAAGCAGAGAAACAGGGGAAAUGGUUGAAGCUGAAGUGGACGAAACAAAAAAUGCAGCCCCUAUAGGAGAAAUCUUACUUAAGAAAUCUAUGAUCAAACGGCCAUCGCAGAACCUGCCAGAUGGUUUUCUGAAGUAAGUUUGUCCAUUUGGUGGAAGAAGGGAUUCUCCCACACCAGCAACAAGGCCUCCCGUGUCAGAAUUUGAAUCACCAAAGUUGAACACUGCAGGGUAAUUGAAGUCAAUUGAAUUGGAAAAGGGAAUGCAAAUCAAGAAUAAGGUGAAAAUGUGGAUAGUGGAAGCCUUUGAAGCCAUGUCCAGUCUGAGACACAGCUCCAGGUCUUUUCUGUGUUUUGGCUGUGAAUUGAACCACUCAACCGGAUGGCAUACCCCAUAAAAAAAAGGAAUAUCUGGUAGGCUUUUGUGUGUAUCUAAAGUUAUCUUAAAUUAUGGGAAAGCCCAAAAAUAGAAGGGUCCCUAUUGAUCAAUUGCUGGUAUAUCCUUGUAGUCUUAAAGAUAUGGGCUGCGCUUAUUGGGGGUUACUUAUAUCUUAUUCAGCACAAUUACCAUUUGCUGUACAUGCAUGUUGCAGACAUAGAUUGUGGUCAACAUGUAAUGUUAGCUCGUACAACAGCGUAUUAUUGUUUAUUGGAUUUCAGUGUCGUUCCAUUCAUUAGACAUCUACAUUACUGCAGUCUACAAGUGGCAAUACACCUAUGGUUGAACGUUACGGCCCGUUUGGCAAGUGAAUUUUUUGGGUAUUUAUUUAAAACUUUAUUAUAACUUACUAUAAAAGUUGUAGGAAAAAAUUUUGAAAUGUGUAAAUUUUUGGAUAUUUUAAAGUAUAUAAUUUAAAAUUUUGAGAAGUUUUUUGAGAUUACUGUAGUUAAAGUUGUUAAAAAAUUUAUAGCAGACAAACUUGGUCAAAACUUACCUGCCAAACAAGAGUUAUGAAAACAAGGGGCAAAAACUUGUUGGAAGGAAAUCAUCUUUUUAUUUGUUAUUUCUUAAGCAAGAGUCAAACUUAAAGAGAGUAAACACAAAAAGAUUUAAAGAAAGAGCUUUUUGUUUUCAAGCAAAAAGUAGUGCAAAAUUGCAAAGAAUUGUUGUUAAUGGAUCUUAUUGAGAGAAUAUGUGCUUUGAGUGCACGAAGUGUUAAUCUAAGUACUCUAGCGGCUGUUAACUUUAUUGCUCAUAGUACCAUUUUCUGUACCAUUAGAAUUGAGAGGAUUAUAAAGUCUCUUUUAGGUAUCAUACCAUUAAGUUAAAUGGUGAAAUAAGUGUUUUUGACUCUCAAAUUAUAACAAUUUCAAAAAUUCAAAUGUUAAACAAAUAUCAUCAUUAAGACAUUUAUAUUGAGGGAAUGCUAUCUUAAAGAAACCAAAGAACUUUACAUCAAAAUAUAUGGAAAAAAAUAUAUAUUGUGAAGUUAUAAACAUAUUUUUAACUUUGCCCUAUCCUGUAAUUUAGUCUGGAUCGGCCAAUCCGCUGAACCGAUUACUUUACCAGUUUACCUAGGUUGGGUUCUUAAGCUCUGCCGACAAGGAAUCAACGGAAUUUUUUUUUUUUUUGGGGGGGAAACAUAACUGCAUUAUCCAUGAUCUAUGAAUAAGUCUCCUAAAUAUCAAGAAGAAGAAGCAGGACCAGUUUUUUAAAAAGCAAUUCUGCAAGCCAUACUUUUCUGUAUUAGCUUCCACGUGUGGGGCAUACAUUACUUCUUGUUUCUUCCUUUUCCAUAUCACGGGUGAGGAAAAUGCAUCAUUCCAAAAUCUUCAAGUCACAAGAAAGAAAAAGAAACAUGUCUUCAAGUAACAAGAAUAAUUAUCCCUUCAUGGGGAAACACAAUUGGUCCCAAAUAAUUAGCAACUGACAAAAAAGAACCUUACCAAAUGCAGCCUGUAAAACUAGAGCCUAUACGAGUGUAAGAUCUUUUCAUUUAUCGAGAAAGAGGAACGCCCAAAAUUCACGUCCUAGUAAUUUUCGUCCUUGUGGUAAUUGCCAUAGAAAAGUGAACCAGGAAAGCAAAGUCGAAAUGUGAAACAAAUCUUCUCAAUGGACAAAGUAAGAAUCCAAAACAUACCGAGGGAUAGGGGUCAGCGUGAUUUCAACUUGAGAGACUCGACAACUUACGAAAACUAAGGGUCACUUACCUACCAUAUUAUGGAAUGAGGACUAACAUUGCCUUGCAGAAUUUACUGGCUAAAUGAGGACGUUAAGAGAUCAUUCUCAACUCAGUAAGGGACCCCUCUUUCAUGCUUGGGAGGAGGGAGACCUCCCUUUGGAGCCAAGCUGGAUCAUCUUCUCGUACGUUCCUGUCAAUUUUGAGGUCAUUUAGUUUUAACCUCACACCAAAGGAUAUCAAAAACUUGUCCUCGGCAAUUUUCAGUUCCUUUUUACAGAAAUGAAUAGAUAGGUAGAUUACCUAAACACCGUUUGACAGAAAAUUUUAUGCUCAUGUAACAACUUGUGCUGAAAGAAAAUCCGCGUUUAUGAGGAGCAAAGCUUAAGGAAGUCCAGGUGAGAGCGAGUACCAUAAUUCAUGAAGAUGAAGAUAUACCCCAACAGACGCUCCCUCAGGAAGGUGAUGCAAUUCUAAUGGACUCACCAUCUCUGCCUUUCACCUAAGCCUACUCUUCACCAUUGUCUGUACGCUUUUUCGUUCUAAAAUUUUCAAACUUCAAGGUUGUCAAUUUCCUUUCAGUCCGCAUAUUAAGUGGCAUUUCUGCAUAGCGCACCUUAGGCAACCACAUACUGUAGAUGUCAAUUGGUCACCGGCCGCAGGGUGCAGACUUUGGUUGAAACGUUAACAACACGAUUCAAAGAAACUCUUCCAAGUACACAUGCGUAAAUUCAGUAAUAGAUACCAAAAAUCAAGCACAACUUCAAAGGCAGCUAAAGAAUAAAAUGAAUAAAAAAUUCGAAAUUGUCACUAAUCAAGCCAAUCAGCUUUUAAACUGUGCUUCUCAUUUUGAAUGUUUGAAGUUGAACUCCUAAACAAAAGUAACAUAGCAACCAGUGAUCCAUGUAAAGAACCUUAGAAGAGCAUGAAGAACAAAAACUUGUAUUCAGUAACCAUGCAGCUGUUAUCUUAAUUUGUUACAUGGAAGAAUGAAGGAACCCAAAGGUUGAUGCCGAAAGUCCCACUCAAAAAGCUUGCGCUUCCUUUUGCUUCUUUGUGCAGAGGGUAAGACAUUUCAGUAGCCCUCAAUUUGGCCUUUAGAAUGGCAUUCUGUUCUGUAAGCUGGACAAAUUUGAACCGCAAAAGUAAGUUUAAAACCAUCACCUAUGACCAUUGUAUAUUUUUCAACCAUAACCCAAACAAUUUAAAUUACGUGCAAUGCAUCCUACCAUGUCACAACUCAGUCAUAAUAAGAGACCACAUCUAUGAAGACCGAUUUCGCUAUGGUAACUCGCUUCUUUUUGUAAUUAAACUUUCAAAUUAAAUCAAACAUAAUAUGCUGGAUGGAUUAGCUUCUCGUGUUCUGCCUAAAGAAAGCAAGAAAGCAUUUUCUAUUUCCCUCUUACCUCUUCAACCUUGGAAUUCAGAUCUUCAACAGCUUUUUGCAACAGUGAAAUUGUUCUCAAAGUAAUGUCUUCGUAAGCAGCUUCCACCUCUUCAACAGAACCUGGAUCAAAGAAAAAAUCAUCCAGUAUAAACAGCUGCUCUAGCAAAUCCACAUCUUCAGCUUUGAAAUUCUCCUUCAACUGCAUAAAUUAUAGAAAGUUCCUUAGGCAUGAAAAGCAUAUAAGAUAAAAUUGAAAUACAGAAGUCAGAUUUACUUUGGUGAACACAAUUCAGAUAAGACCUUGUUGAGUGUCCUCUCACGUAGCUCAUCUUUAUUUAGAGACAUGGUUUCAUGCUUUUUGGCAAUUAUGUCUUCUGGGGAAUUCACACGUAUUGAUGCCUUUAUGUGCUUUGCUCUGCCAAUUAAACAGAAAUAUCUUUCAAUAGUUUCCCUUCGUCCAACAUAUAGAACACCAGGAUCCAAAGAAUUGCGUGAAAACAAAAGGACACCAAAGAAUAUCUGUGUAACUUUCAGUUAUCUAUAAUGAGAAACUGUAUAAAACUUUCAAGACAGGUAGAAUGACAUGCCUCGCACCAAAUCGAAGAGUGGACAGGCUUUCAGGAGCAUUUGAAGGACUUGGUGAGCAGCAGCAAAGCAAAGCUGUUUGGGAUUUACCUCCCUGUAAAAUGGAAGCUUAUUAGCCCUAGGAGGAGUGGAAGCACAACAAACAAUUGGAAUUCAGGAAAGGAAACUAACAAAAACAUCCUGUAGGAUCCUGGUAAGUUUAGAAUCUCGAUAGGGAACAUGAUUUGCUUUUCCAGGGGAACCACCAGUCAGAGCAUUUAUUACAUUCCCCAGAGCUGAAAGGGAUUUGUUGAUGGACUUGGCUUCUUCAAGAACUCUACCUUCAGCUCCAGUUUUUUCAACUUUCUCAGAUCCAGCCAAGUCCACAAGUAUCAACUUUCCAGAUUUCAUCCUGUUGACAGAUUCAACAUCUUCAAGUUUCAUUUCAUACAAGUCUUCACAAUGCAUAGUGAAGUAUACCUUCUAGUCUUUGUGAUUUCUUGCUGGACAGUGAACGUGUAAAUGCAAUGACUUCUGCUGCUAGCCAUAUUCAUUUCUGGACUUGUUAAACCAUACAAAGUGAUAUGCAUAAAAAAGAAUCUAAGACCUCUAUAAUACUUAGAAAGGAACAAGACAAAGGAAAGGGAAUUAUUGGAAAGCCAGAAACAAUAAUAAAAAGAUACGAGGAUACGGGUUUCUCCAACCGCUCUGUUAGCUAUCCCAUUCUGCAAUUCAAUCAGCUAUAAAAACAUCUGUUCUAGUACUUUAACACAUGGAAAAGGACAAGAAUAGAUAUCGUACACAUAGACUUUGCAGUGCCUCUGUACAAUUGGUAACAUUAAUCUGUAAAAGAGAAAACAUACACUCCUGAGAUCUAACAAGAUAUAAAUGAGCAAAAAUUUACAAAAACAAGCAGCCAACAUGACAAAGCAUAUGAGUGAAGUAACAGAUGAACACCUAGUCUCUUUGGAUGCAAAAGAUUAAGCUAAAAAAACCACUAAAGGUCUAUGUUAAAAAUUUCCAAUGAAGGAGCUCUAGUCAACACGAGCAAAUACCAAGCUUGCACUACCCUGCGAAGGAUUUAGGGCUGGCAGUAGAAAAGCACCAGUUCUUGUUCCUCUAAUACUUAAAAUAGGUGCACUUAAACACAGGAUACAAAGACCAAAUAAAACCAAAUUGUGGUAGAGACUUCUAUGAACCUGUCUUCCUCAGGCUCAUAUAGACUAUUCUAAUUACUGGCAAAGGUGCACCAUAAUCAGAUUAGGAUGAACAAUAAGGAUGGAGAAGGUAGCAUAUCUUACCUCUGUAGCUCCAUAAAGAAAUAUCCCCUGCUGCCUAUUCUCCUUAAUCUGUAUGUUGUCAUUGACUAAUUCAAACAGGUCCCUAAAAGAAGGGAGAAUGCUUAUUAUUAAGAACAUUAUUAUCUCUAGUGUACAGGUUAGGUACUGCAAACUGGAAGUCCAAGAAGUAUGUCCCAUUGAGAACGGACCUUACUUUCUCCAUGUAAAUCUCAACCUGUAAGCAUCAAAUCAACAGGUAAGUCAUAUAGCAUGAAUAAAAUAAAAAAUGAAAUUGCAAAUCUCAAGUACGCAAUUAAUUAAACUUUCUACACACCAUGGAUAACUUGAUCAUGGAGCUGGCCGUCUCAUCUGAAAGUGCGAUAGCCUCAAAAAGGCCAUUCACCACUUUUGGCAACAGUCCUUUGUUCUUCUCAUCUCCAUCCAUGAUGCUAGGCCCCUAAAGUUGAGAGAAUUCAAUGAAACUCCUAGUUUAACAUGCGUCUAUCUACUGCAGCUUCACUAGACUGUGUAGCAUCGUCCUCUUACCUCCAUGGUAUAUGUCUUCCCUGCUCCAGUCUGUUGCCAAUAAUAUACAACAGCUUCAUUAAAUUCAAAUGGUUUUCAAGUAACCCGAGAAAUCUAUUAAUAAGUCUCUGAAGGAAACUUCAUGAUGCAAAAAAUGCAAGUUUCAAUCCUGAUCUCUAAAGUUGAUGAUGUUAAUGGAAGCAUGCCAUAUAAUUUGGCUUUAACUCGCAAAUGUCUCCAGCAAACUGUAUAGUGGUCAAACUCUCGCCCUGAUCUGAUAUUUUUACUCGAAUUGAAUUUCAUGCUACAUCAACAGUUCCUCAUUAUCUAGCCAAAUCAUUGUCUACAAAAAAUGAGUAAAUUAGCUACGUGAUGAAUAGAACAAAUCAAUGUUCUUCUUGGACCUUAAUUGGAGCUUGAUAUAAUUUGAAAAACAAGAAGAUGUCCUACAAUAUUAAUUAGAAAUAAUUAGACACAUCAACAAAAAUUUUCAUUCAAACUCAAAGUAGGGUCUGCUAGCCAUUUCCCUCCCCCCAACCCCAACAUACACCAACCAAUUGAAAAAAAAAAGAAGAAAGAAAAUAUUAUUUGGCACAUGUACAACUUAUUCUUCUGUAGUAAAAUGACCAUAUACACUUCAUAACUCUAGAACAUGUGAACAAAGGACUUUUUGAUACUUAAAUCACCAGCAUGACUCUUGAAGUCAAAUUUCUAGCAUAUACAUUCCACAACUUUAACUAUGAUGAAAGUUAAGAUGGGGAAGAAAUUAUCUACAUUUGGAAAAGAAAUUAGUUGGUUUCAUGAGAAUAUGGUGAGACAAAAGCUUCUUUUUGCUGAUCAGAAACUCAAAUAAAUGUAUUGUCAGAUCACUACUUUUGACUUCAGCAGUUAAGCUUCUGCAGGAUUUUGAGAACUACCAUAAUGCAGCAUAUGUAGAAUUUCGUUAGCUGAACUCUUGAUAGAAAUUGAGGAAUAAUGUCACGUAUUCACCAAUAUCAGAACGCUCAAUAACUAAAUAGAGUUUUCAUCAUGAAAAACACGAUACCAGCAAAUCAAGAAAAUAAAUAUUGAUCAACAUUAUCUGCCGUGGCAGCUGCAUACUAUUAUCUCUGGCAUUUGGGAACGUAACCUCACUUAUUUUAAUCAAGUGCCUCAUUCUAUGUAAAAUUUAAGAACAAAACAAGACACAAGCAGCUACAAUCUCAAACAUCUGGAACUUUAUGCCUUCUUUCAUACAAUUCUUGAUUUAUCUUAAUUUUUCCUCAUGAUCAUAAGUAUGCUGUAGUUAUGAUGGUUAAAGCAACAAUUAAGAAAAGCUACAAAGUGGACAUCUCAUGUUUAUUAAUUCUGCAAUUAUUUAUUCUGAAAUGCAGGUUCUGCAAUCAAGAAGUUUGUUAAAUCUGCUUGUAGAAUACUCAAUAUAUUACUACGAAGGCACUGCAGACGUGAAAAGACAACAAUGGGAAAUGUUGAAUCAUGACUACCUGUCCAUAGGUGAUAAUUGCCCCAUUAAUUCCAUCAACAGCAGCUGUUGAAACAAAAAAUAAAAAAUAAAAAGAUGUGAAUAAGAAUUACAGGUUAAACUUCUUGUUAAAAGACAAUUGUAGGAAGUGAAAGCAAAUCCAAUUGUUCCACUAAUACUGCCUGUUUCAUAAAAAAAAAAAAAAAAAAAGGAUCAGCUUAAGCUUAAGGUUUACUGACCAUAGACAACAAGAGAUGAAUUCGUUCCUGGUUUACAAACACAAAACGAGAUUUUGAAUCUACUAGCAUCAACCGCUAACGUCUUCAAUCUUUGGAUGUAACCAAGAUAUAGAGUUUUUGAGUCGUAAUCUUACCAAUCUUCCAGUAUAAAGGACCAGAUCAACUUUGAUAUUUCCAUUCUUUUUUUUUUUUCACUUCUAAUCAACUUAGCAAUUCUAAUCUACAGUUUGUCUCAUCUUUUGUUUAAAGCAAACAUUUCUCACAACAUCUACCAAACAUUAAAAAAUAUACAAGCGCUAACAACAUUCAAUAAUCUCAUUGUAGAAAGCUGAAACCAGAGAAUCAAUAGAAAUUUGAUACCUUGCACAAGAGGCAGAGCAAUAAAAUCAUACACUUCAGAUUGCGGAGAUCCUGGAUAGAAAACUCUAUCGAAGCUAAAAUUGAAGUCCUCCUUCUCAUCCUACCAUACACCGACAAAAUUCACAAAAUUUUCUUAUUUCACAAAUUUAUCACUUGAAAUUAUGCUUCAACAACUCAACAGGAUACAAUUUUAGUAGAAAAGCAUAUAACUUACGAACAUAUACUAACAUUAUUGUCGAAAUUGAAAAUUAGAACCUUGAAUAUGAAGGAUUCAGAGUCUACGCGGUGUAUGCAGAUGGAAUCGCCGUGAUCGGCUCUUUCUUUCUGAUUAAGAGGUCUGAAUAGCGCGCAAACUUUGAUUUUUGACAUUUUCUGUGUUUGAAUUGAUGAGAACCUGAAAAUCGACCACAAAAUUCAACUAAAAAUAUACAAUUGAUUAUUGAUCAAAGUUCGGUUUUGAACUACACAUUCACAGUUCACAGACCAAAAAUGCAUAAGCACAGGGAACUAUACCUGAUUGGAGAAGAAGACUGAAUGAGAAUUCGAGGAUUUUUUUGAAGAUUUUCCCGCCAAAAUCUGGAGAGAGAAAACUUUGGAGUCGAAAAUGAUGAUCAGCGACGUCUUAACGGAAAAACAAGUAUUCGGACCUAUUUAUAGGGCUAAUUUCUUAAAAUAUACCUGAAAAAAAAAUUCCGUUAAAUGUACCUCACCUUUGGUACCAAACUAUAGCUGACAUACCAAAUCAGCACGGCAGAAAUUUUUUUUUUUUAAGUUGUAGGCUACCGUGCUGACUGUGCACGGUAGCCUGCAGUCGAAUUUUUUUCUUUUAAAAGGCAGCCUGCUACCAUGCACUCUUUUUUCAAGGCAGCCUUCUACGCCAGUCUUUUUCACCAAGAGCUUGUUUUGAAAUGGGGCGCAUGGGGGGAAGUACUUUGGAAUGAUUUGAUUGGGACGCUAGUGAGUUAAUGAGCACCAUUUACAUGGUUCUAUCAACCCUUUUCUUGCGUGUUCUGAAUCGACUUCCUUAUUUAUAAAGAAGAGAUGCCCCGUAGAAGACUUCAGGCCACCGAAGCUAACAAAAGGCUAAGGAGACCCAUUUAGUAUGGUAUUUUUAUGCCGACUAAAGUAACUUCAGGGGUUAGCUUUUCAAAUGUUAAAAGAAUAAGGGCAGCUAAUUCAUCCGCAUCUGUUGGAGGAAGGAUAUCCUUUCGCCCAAAAUUUACUUUUCAAAAGGGCACCUGCUACGGUGCUGAUUGUGCACAGUAGCAAGCUGUCCGUGCACAGUUAGCACGAUAGCCCGCAACUUUUAAAAAAAAAAAAAUUUGCUGCUGUGCUGACUAGGCACGAUAGGUAUAGUUUUGUACUACGGGUCUAUCAGAGAGGUACAUUUGGCGGACAUUUUUUUUUCAGAUAUAUUCUAAGAAAUUAGCCUAUUUAUAGUUAGCAUAGUGCACACUUGUGGGCAAAAUAUGCUAUUGCCGAGUUGAAGAGAAUUACGUGAAUUGCCCAACUAAAGCCUAUAUUUACCUUUUUGGACCCUAAAAGUUUUUCUUUUCUUUCUUUGUUUUGACAAAUAAAGGAUUAGUGGUUUCCUUUGCUUCAAAUUGAACUGCCAGAAAGCGGAAUAUAUGAAUGAAGGGAUCUCAACUCAUUUGUUGGAUGAAAGAUCAAUUUUUGCAGGCAUGGUUUGGUUAAGUUUACCAUAAAACUUAUUAACGAAACUAGGUAGAAUGAUAGUUUUUCUUGUGACUUAUUAAAGUAGUACAAAACGAUUAACUAUUAAACGUGACUUUGUUUAUAUAUCUUUCUCUUCUACUUGCAGCGAAUCCAUCUAUAAAGCUCAAGAAAUCCACCUUCCUAUCCUCAUUAACAUAUAUAGUAAAUGUGUGAAUGCCAAUCCCUCCAAUUGAACCCAAUUGCUGACGUGGCACGCUGUGAUUGGCCGAUUGAUGGUAGUCCUCCGUUGAUUGAGCUGAUGAAUUGAAUUGAGGACAAAAUCGAGAUUUCACCUCAUCAUUCAAUAGAUAGGGUUUCUGAAGCUGCUGCCGAGAGUCUCUUCUGCGCCUCCCUAUCUAAUCCUCCUCCUCGAUUUCUUUCUUUUUUUCUUCUCUCUUAUUUUCACUUCUUUUCUUUCCAUGAUUCGCUGUUGUCCAGAUCUUCCUCUUCGUGGCUCUCCAGCUCCAUUACUCUCCAUUGAUCAAGGUGAUAACAAUGAAUGGGCCUCCCUAUCUAAUCCUUCUUCUUGGUUUCUUUCUCCUUUUCUUCUCUCAUUUUUACUUCUUUUCAUUCCUUGAUUCGCUGUUGUUCAGAUCUGCCUCUCCGUGGCUCUCCAGCUCCAUUACUCUCCGUUGAUCAAGGUGUAACAAUGAAUGGGAAGCAAACAUUUAUUUUACUUUAGGCUACUUAGUCAUAAUUUUUUCUUCAUAUUACUUAGCCAUAUUAAAAAUCUUUUUUCCCCUUUUCGUUUUUUCCGCACAUGAUUCCUCGAACCCAUCUGCUGUAAUAUUCGUCCCAAAGAUAUCUUCUUUACACCCCCAAUGUUAAUAUGGAUGGUCUGUAUCAAAAUUAGGGAUGCCCAGAUAUUAGAAAUUCGCUAGCUUUUGCUCCAGUCUUGGGGGAUUCAAAUCUUGCAUUCUUUUUUUCACAACUUUCUACUGUUCGAUGUUUCCUGUUUCGUUUCAUGGAGUUAUCUUUUUAAUACAAGAGAGAAAAAAUUAUGAUUACUUUAGGUUACUCAAUCAUUGUUUUUCUUUCUUUUUUUCCUUGGGCAGAUUGGAAGGCAACAGUUGUUCGUCUCAUAUUUUAUGAGAAAAAGGUAGAGGUGAGCUUUUUUUCCUACAGAUUAAUUCGUGAUCAUUUGUUUCUAUCUUGGAGAGUCGGCUAUUUUCUCCUUCCAUCUUUAAAUUCUAACAAAUACAUUUUUUAUUAUUGCUUUUUUUCCUAUACACUAUUAUCUUUAUUGUUGUGUGAUUAUUCUCUUCUUGUGCGAACAUCUAUAUGGUUAUUCUACUAGCUGUUUUUUUCUCACUUGUUAUUGAUAUGUGCCUUUUUCUUUUUAGAAAAUUUUUAGUGCUUCUUCUCUCCCGCAUUCUCGUUCCUCAUGGUGAGUUUUCUAAUUUUUGCAUCCGUGCUUACUUUUAUUUUUUUUUCCUGAGCUCUAUUUUAAGUUUUUUAUUAUUGUUAUAAGUGUUGUUGCUGUUUAUAUUUGGAGGAUUUGUUUUGUCCACUUUUUUAAUUUGCAAUUAUGGUUUCUAAUUUUUUUUCUCUAUAUAUAAGUAGCAAAAAGUAGUUCCUACCUUUAUAUUUGAUUUCAGGUUUUCAUCUUCAAGGUCAAAGAACUCAGUAAACGUGGCAAAAAAGGUUAUUACCUUUUUGUUUGAUUUCAUGUUUUUAUCUUCAAGGUUAAAAGAACUCAUGCAAAUAUAAUGGAUUUUAAUGUCUUAAUAUCUGUUUUCCUUGCUGAAAAGUUUUUUAUGAUUUUUUCAAAAUUUCCCCUCGACUUAUUUCCUAAUCAUUCACUUCAAGUAGCACAGCAUACUAGAUCUUAUAUUUGCAAAAUACCAAAACAAACAGGUAGCGUUUGUAUAAAUCUCCAUUUUUGAAUUUGUGAAAUAGAAGAAAAGAAAACGUGGUCUUCUUAUUUCUUGUACUUGCUGUGUGUUUUGAAGUUCAAUUGAAACUCAUGUGCUUGGAAAACUUUAGAAAUUAACAUUUUCAUUUUAUUUUAAAUAUUGUUGGGGUUGUCAAAUUGAAUUAAUUGAAGAAUCUUUAAAUAUGACACAUAUGCUCUUAUUUUCCAAAUGCUUAAAAAUUGCACUUUUUGAUUGAGUUUUUACUAAACAGGGACAAAAGUAGGAUUUCGCCUUGAAAAAAUGCAUAUGCAAUUAGAAUGUAUGAACAAAAUUAGUUUAGUGGUUCAUAUAUGCCUCAGCAAAAGUGUACUGAAAAAAGAGUUUGAUCUCAAAUGAAGGUCCGGACUUUCUCACCCACUGGUAAUUAGUUAAGCAAUGGAGGUAUGCAAGUGACCAGCAAAUUGAGUACUCAAUGAAUCGGUUAUUACUUUAUUUUUGGAGUUAAGAUUUUUGUUACAAUCUAUUUCCAUCCAAGAGGUUUGCUAAUGUGUUGCUUGCUUAACUAGACUUCAUCCUCUAUAUAACAUUUUCUUGCCUUGAAUCAUAAAAGAAAUGAUGGCCGUAUUUUGUUUGGAAAGUGCUCUGCUUUCAAUGCUCUAUGCUUUUAAUUCAUGACCCUAAGUUGCCUCUUACCACUUCUAAAAAUUUUAACAUGGAAAUAAUUACUAGGUAAUUCAGUUUUGGGUGUUUUAAAUCUGUAUUUGCUAAACAUGAUGUUCCCUGUUACAUUUUAGUAUGAUUAAGUUUGGAAAGUCUGAUUUUUAUAGCCAGUUUGUUGUACUUUGUGAAAUUGGAUCCAACUGAGAAAGAACCCUAAACAGGUUAACGGACAACAAUUAAAGUUCGAAUUGCCAAUUGAAAGAUUCAAUGAGUGAAUGUUAAACAGAUUUUCAAUCUACCUUUAAGUUUUUCUACGAGAAAGAACUUAAUGGAAGGAAAUGUUACUUUUGAAGUAGAUUUGCUAAACUCUCUUGUAAAUUACAAUAGGAUGCAUAAUCCAUGCCAAAUAUGGCAUCUAGAUGUUCCAGUAGAAGAAGACCCCUCUACUUUGAGAGAAAUUGGUAUAGACUUCUUUGCAGAAUCUUAGAAUACAAUUAUUAUUUCUUCCACUUUUGUUUUUAGGCUGAGGCAUAUAUGCCAUAUUUGCCGCAUCUUCUAUCAGUUUUGUAGCUACUGCAUUUCAAUUGUGUUGUUGCAGUUUGCAAGAAUUAUUAUGGUGCUCUUGAUUCUCAUUGGGCAAGAUCCAAGUAAUGAACUUUGCCACGAAUCCUUGGAAAUUACUUCUUAUGUAUGAUUUGUUUAUAGCCUUUCCAAUUACCAAUAACUUCAAUUCUUCGGCACUGCUUGGAUUAAUAACAAAAAUAGGUUAGCUUGAGAUAUGAAACAUUUCAGAUUUCGUCAUUGUUAGAUAAAUUUUAUAGCCAAACAUGAUUGGUCUUUUAAUUUUUUUUUUGUGGUAUUUAUGAGCAAUAAUUUGAUUUGGACAGCAAAUCAGAAAGUGUAAGCGCCCAUAUUUGAAACUAUUCAUUUUUGUUUCGUGUUAGGUAAUGGAUGAUAUUUUUGCACUAUAUUUAACCCACAAAUGCAGUCUAAUAUAGGUUGUCCUGCUAGGUUCAGCUCUUGAUUCACACAUCCAAUACGAUUUUAUCAAUAUGGACUGUGCUUAUUUAUUUAUUUUUUCCUUCUUCCUUUUGGGUUUUGGUUGCCAUAAUUAUCGACACUAUGUAUCUUUGUUGUUUUUGUUGGAAUCCUCUAUUCGUAGGCUAGAAACAUGCACAAAACUAAACUUCUUCGAAAUGCUAUAGCCUUAAGAAAUCCAGGAUUGGCAGGAGCAAAAGAACUCAGUAGAGACUCCUCUGGUUGUUGGAUGGAAGGCUAUAGUAGAAACAGUGCAAACUUGGGAAUUGCUAUCAAUAUUUUGGCUGAACUAUGGGGUUUUAGAGACGGAAUUAUGCUUGCUUUGGAGUUAAAUAUUCAAUUCCUAGAUAUUGAAGUUGACUGCCUUGACAUCAUAUCUCUAAUGAAAUCAAAUACUCUCAGUAAUCAUAAUAAUCAUUGUUUGCAAUAUAAUUGUUGAUUACAGAGUCCUAUUGCGGUUGCAAUAAGAAGUGAAUAGAUGUGUAGAUGGCUAGCUAGACUGGGAGGCAAGAUGGAAUGGCAUUUUGUAAUUUUGGAUUCCUAUCCUCAUGAACUACCUUUUGCUUUAGAUGAAGAUUUGAGGGGAAAUUUUUUUCCUCGUAAUACUUGUUUGGCUUGUACUUGGUGUUUUAUUUAAUCUAUUUGUACCCAAAAAACAGGAAAAUGUUCCGGAGCAUUUUUUUCCUUCUCCUAUGUGACUUGACCAAAACUAACCGUUAUAGGAGACAUCCGGUCUUUAAAAUUUCGAUGGAUGAGUAUAGUCCAGAAAGUACUACCAAGUACCAACCAAUCGAGACUACAAACUUUGUUCCCCCCACCGCCAAGUGCAGCUGCUACAGUACUUUAUUUGGAUUGAUAUAAUAUACUAUUGCACAAGUUACUUCUCCAUGAAUGUUGAGUUGGACAAACAUAUAUAAAGCCAAUCUCGGCUAUUUAUACUUAUUAUGUGAUUUUUUGGAUUAUUGUUUCUUUCAUUGAAUUGUAAUACAUAAGCGGAUAUAGUUGAACAAAUUUGAAAAUUUACUUGGCAUAAUUGAAAACUCUUGCAUUCCCCAAUUGAAAACUCUUGUAUGCGAAUUAAUCUCUAACUAUUUUACCCAAUUUUUUUUGUCAAUCUUUCUUGAAACAAUCUAUUAAACAAAAGGAACACCUUUACUAAGAUUGUUAAUAAACUUUGUAGGUGGAGUUGGCUUUAUUUGUUUUGCUUGAUAUUAGAUCUCAUCAUGAUUGCGGUAUGGCUUUUCCGGCUAUUAGAGUAAGUAUUUGGAUUCUAAAUUAUUUCUUAACAAAAAGUUGAAUCGGAUUAUAGUCAAUGGAUGCCAGUAUUUUGCUUGCGAUUCUAAAAAAAUUGUAUAUAUAAUAUAUAUAUGUAUAUGAAGAGGACCCAGUUAAUUUUUUCUUUCAAUUUUGAUUGAUUAAGAGCCUAGAUAUUGGAGCCUUGAAAGCGUAUGGAGUUCUUAGCUCGAUAUCUUUGUUUUUGUCUUCCUUUCUAAUACUUUUAGUAAGUUGUUCAUUAUGCACCCUAACAAUUAGUGGCUAUAAAAAUUCCAUUUUCUCUUGGUUUUAUGAUGAUUUCUUUUAAUGUUUUAACACUUGUGCGUGAUGAUCUAGCUCAAUCAAAUUAAAGUUUAUGAACAACAUUAUUAGCUUCUCCUUGAUUACGUGUAUCUAUUUUUUUUAAUUCUAUUUUCAUUCUAUGCAGAAGCAAGGAGCAUCUUAGUGAUCUUAGUAGUCUAAUCAUGAUAUUGUCUUGCAUUUUCUUAACAAAUAUUCAUAUUCACUACUAAAUAAGACUACAAAAACAGAACGGCAAAGCUUUUGGUGCAUAUUUGUGUAACUUUUCAUACUUAAUAUAAGAAUUUGAAUCACUGGGCAUUUUUGGGCAACCGUGAAAAUUACACCGCGCAUCGUGCGGUGUUAUCCUCCUAGUAUGAUACAAAGCAGCAUUGCAGUUUCCCAAAAAAGUCAUAAGAACAUGGCAAUGGUGGCUGCUCAUUCCCAUGAGCUACCGAAAGUCAAUUCUUGGACCCAAGCUGCAGCAUAUGGUUUUCCUAUAACAAUGCACCCUUCUGCUUAGAUAUGUCAACGACCACAACUGAGAAUCUAAUCGAUGGUAAAGCACCCUUUAUGGUUUCACACUAUGCCACCUGAUUUUCCUUACAUGUCAAAAAUUUCUUCGUAUCUCUUAUAGUUUUUGGACAAAAAGUAGUGACUAUACCGUCGUUAGUUGAAAUGUUAGUAUCGCCUUUUCUGAAAUACUAGCAGAACAACAGCAUAAUGACUUCACAUAAAGUUAUAAAGAAAUCAUGUCAAUAUAUGCAAAACCACAGGGAAGUUGGAAUAGAUUUAUAGUGUUUUCUCACACACGUUUUCGGAGGCCAAUUGAAUGGAAGUACCUUACAUGCACUUUAGACUUCAUAUCAAAUCACAGGGAAGUUAUGUGGAUACCUUAAAAGGUUGUGAUUACAUGCAAAAUCACAGUGGGUUACUAGUAAUUUACCCAAAUAAUUACUAGAUCACUAUCUGCAACGUCGGAUACAAAAUUGAUACACCAAGCUGGCACCAGAGAGGGUAUCUCUGCAUGGAGAACAGAAACUUGGCAGAAGUUAAUUGUAUGAAAUGCUAAAAAUCCGUAUGGUGGAUCGCUGAUAUGAUUUUGCAUAGGGAAGCAAAUCAAAUGGCUUCGAAUUCUCAGUAAUGUCGGCGACAGUAAGGUUUGCCUCCUUCGUUAGCUCAAGAAAGUAAUUGAAUGUCUCAAUGUUACGAAUCACAGAAGCAAUAUAUGCUACAGGGCGUCUCUCCAACGCAUCAUCUUUGUCCUCAACACAUGGAGCACUGCAACUCUCGGCUUUUCCUUUGCUGCUAUCAAACUCGAAAUCCGCAUGUUGAACUUCACUUCUGAUACAUUUGGAAUCUGGUUGACAUCCCUCACUGCGAACACUUCCAUGAUUAGGGAAUGAUGUUCCACGUUUCAGAAGAACAGUCAGGACGCGAACAAGAUGGGGAAGGUAUAAUGGGUCAUAAAUGACAUCUGCACCCACACUGCAGAAUAGUAGAGAAGGUUACAAGGCUUACUUUGAGCUAUAGGAGAGGAAAAGCAGAAAAAACUAGGAAGUCUAAUUUACAUGAACUGGAAAAAGGAUGUCAUGUGUUAGAUCUCAAUGCUGUAGUUGUGAACUGCUUAAGGUGCAAUUAGCACCAAGAAACCAUGACAGAUAGGUGCAAUGCACAAAGGGAGGUGGCUUUUAAAAGAGAGGCAUGGGUGGAAAGCACACGUGCAUAAAGUAUUACAAAUACUGGCUUCUAAGGGUAACAACUCACAACAAGCAAAUCAACAUUUAGCAAGUGGUUGAGAAUUGGCAGCAGGAAAGUACGGGAUACCAGAACAGCUUUAAAGGAAGAUGUGUGAGAGAGAGAGAUGCCAGUAUGGAUACUUGGGUUGGGAGGGUAAAGCAGGGAGAGAAUAUGAACAUGGAGCAAUCAGUAACUUCCCCAGCCAAAAUAUGCCCGAAAAAAAAAAAAUUCUCUCUCAGUUCCCUGGAAAGCAUUCUAAAAGUUGGAACAUUGAUGAUACAUGGACAAACUAAUCAUCGCAAAACUAACAAGUUCCUUUCUACAUCAGAAAAGAGAACCAAAGGCAUGGAACAAUGUUCACAGUCUCGUAGAAGCCAAAUAGAUUUCUACUGUAUUUAAAAAAAAAAAACAACAACAACAACAACAACAAAAAGAAACAAAAAGCAAAAGAACUUACAUUAUGUCUGGCGCAAAGUUUUGCAGCUCAAUUUCUGUUGCAGAUUCCCAUGGUAAAUGAACGCACUGCACCUGCAACCAAAAUUAUGUCAAGUUGAUUAGCUGCUUGUCCUUGUCCUAGUAAAGUAAAUCCAUGAACAGCAAGGCAAGCUUUAUAACAAUGAAAAGCUUCUAGCCCUUCGCAGAAAUUACCUCCAAAUUUUAGGAAGGACCAAACCUCAUCAAAAUGACAGCAGAAAUAAGAAAUGUCUUGAAAAUGCAAGGUUUUCAGAUACUUAUAUUCCUUUAUAAAGGAAAUCAGUUUCUUUAAAAUUUAGCUCUGCUAGUUUUAGGAAACCAGAACACAAUACUAAGAAAACCAACAUAUGUAGGAACCAAAGUCCUAUACUUACUGUACUUGCAUCUUUUUUGCAUUCUGGUACGUCAAUUCUUGUGCUGAGCAGAUUUGACUCCAAAUUAAGCCUCAUAUUGGAUAAAGUGGACAGGUCGCCAUCACUCAAAACCACCUGCAUAAAGAAAUCAAUUUAAGAUAUGAUGGUAUCAGAAGUCUUUUAUAUGCUCUCAAGAAUCUUUUCACUCUGAUGAGAGGGAAAUAAAUGCAUAAAAAAUCAUGCCAUUUAACAAAACUUGAGAAGGAUGUUCUUGAAAAGACAGUAAACAUACUGUUUAACCAAUGAUAAAAGCAGUUUUAUUGGACAAUUUUAUCUACUAGUAGCAACUGAGACAGAAAUGGUUGAAAAGUUUAGAUGUAUUCCCAUAUAUAGCUCUUGCUCGAAAAGACUCUCAAGAAGUUUACCCAACUAGAAGCAGUCCAAGCCUCAGCAGGAAUCAAAUUUUCUUUGGCAACAUUGACCAAGAUAUCUACAUUUCAAGAUUAUAUUUUUAAAGGUGAAAUUUGGACUCUGAAGCUUUCUCCUAGUUGCUAGAAUCCAUCUACUGAAGACCAUAAUAAUUGUGGAUAUUUAGACGCCAGACAUAGUAUGAUCAAAUUAAUCAACAAAUUAUAUAAGUGCUCCAAACAGAGGAGUUAAAAUGCCAAUAUUGGGAAUUAUUUGAGAUCUCAAACAGUAAGACCCAUAGAGAUAUUAUUACCUAAGGAACAUUGCGACACAGUAAGCGCAUAAAAAAUGUACUGGAAUAAUAAAUUACCAAUUCUAUUCCUAAAGCUGCCAAUCCAAUUUUGUAAGCUGAAUCUUUCCUGAUAAAUAGAUCUAACAUCAAUCGUAAUCUCAAUAAAUAUGUCAAACCUACUGUGGAAUCAACGUGAAUGGAGGCACCAAAAUGCAGGUAUAGGUGUCAAUGGUAUAAAUGGUAAAAAAUUUGUUGAUCAAACCAAGAAUUCAACACUUUUCAGUGAAUUGAAUUAAGCAUCUCAGAAGUAUUCAAGCUUUGUUUGCAAAAUCAUAAGAAUUAUCAAAACUGUACUUAUAAAUCUUGAGCUCUCUUUAUGGAGGUUUAGCUUUCCCAAAAUAGUUAUUGGAACAGUUCAUUGCAACUUGCAUUGAUUUGCUACAACCAGGCCUCAACACAAGAAAUAAUACUUUCAUCUCUAACCAAGCUGUCAACAUUUCUCCAAUUUAAAGAGUUAAGAGUAUUCUGAACAAAGCCCAUGAAAAUUACCAAAAUCAGAUGAUUGCUAUUUGUAUACAGGCCUUCAUAAGAGGUGAAGUGCCUUGCAUCAGGUAAUUACAUAAUUGAACAUCAAUCUGAGAAUUGAAAUAUAUCCAGCUGACAGUAAAUGCCAACCAGUGCCCUCAACGAUAAAAAUGAAACUUUUAGGCGCACAACUCAAAUUCUAUAUGCGUCUUAAUUGCACAGAAACGAGAAGGGUUCACUGUAUGAUCUUCAAUAUAUUAAGAGUAAACACAAGUCUCUGGAUAAAGAUGGAAGAAGGCCUUACAUAAAACCAAUAAGAAAGAUGGUCGAAAGCAUAUGGAUGCAUUUUUUUUUUUAAUUCAACAAAAAGCAUGCUGGUUCCUUCAACGAACUGUAAUACAUGCAUAACAAUUAGAGAGGAGAGAGAGUUUGUGAGAAAAGCACACUGACUCCUUGCAGAAACCAUAAACAUACACAUAAUGGCUUGAGUUAGGGAGAGACUUACAGCAGAAGCUUUCACGUGGGCCAAACAUAUACCAACCAAACCUACACCUGAACCAACCUGUUUCUUGGUCAAUUACCACAAAAAUAAAAUUCCACUAGAAAUAUAACAUAAUCAUGAUUAGUAAAAUGAAGAUGAAUAAGCAAGUCAAAAUUCACACUCUUCCCAGGGAGUGAAAGAUGGAAAAACAGAACAGCAACUAAAUUCUGGAAGGCAUACCUCACCUCAAAACAAGAUCUAUUGGAAAAUAUGUUUGGGAAAGAAAGUAUAAACUCUGAGAGGAAAAGACUUGAGGGCCAGAUUGAACACCUGUUUAGACCAUGACAGAAAGGAAAUCCAAUGAGGUCACAAACCGAUCUCAGACCAACUAAAGUACAUUAGACAUUAAAAAUAUAAAAAAAACAAUGGUCAGACUAUAGAAAACCACUAAUAGGGAGAUUAAAAGAAAAUCUUGUCGAAUUUCAUUCCUAAGAAAAUAAGAACAAAAAUGUUUUUUGAGGAUAUAGCAUUUUCUCCUAUGUUGCAUUUUUGCAUUUGAACAAAUCAGUAGGUUGCAUUUCAGCGACUCAAUAUUUGCCUACUCAUACAUAUAUGCUAAGUUAAGAAACAUGCCAAUGAGAUCAUGCAAAUAAAAGACACUAUUAUUGCACGAGGCUCCCCCACUUCAGGUCUAAUUAGAUUUCUUAGUUUUAUCUUUUUCUUUGUUUUGCAGGCCCCGGGGGCCCAGGGAGUACACUUACCAGUCUGUUUAAGUUAUUUUCAUUUACUGAACAUUUGACUUCCCAAGUAACAAAACGCAACCUUAGUCUUACUUAUGGUCAAAGAUACAGAAAAAUCCUUCUCCAGGUUUUCCCAACUCCCCAGACCACUUCUUUUCUCAUUUUUAAUCCAGUACAUCCACCCUUCAAAACUUUUCCUGCAACUCAAUGUUAAGCAAACCAAACCUGGUAAACUCAGUUAGAAACAUUUUCUUACUUAAAAAGAGUAAUCAUUUUCACCAUAUUUGAACUACAAAUUCAUGUCCUGCUGUAAUGAACAUCUCAAAUCAGAAAAAAGAGCAACUGCGUAUAUAAGGUCUCUGAAUGACGAGUCUGAAAUCAAGGUAAGACACAAGUUGCCUAUCACCCAGAGUCCAUCUUGCAUCCAUGAUUCAGGAAUCCCAGCCAAGCUAGUUGGCCUUCUUAUUCAGUUACGUAUUCAAAUAUGAAACUACUAUUCUUUCUCUGUCAACUUAUGGUCUGUCCUUUUGAGAAGAAGCAUGCCACUUGCACUGAUGGACAUUGAAAAAACAACAUGAAAGUUCUUGUAUCCUUUUCCACAUCCUCCUGGCCGAAAAAAGGGGGAGGGGGAAGAGAGAAAUGGUAUGUCCAUCUACCCCAUUACUUUGAUCAAGAUUGAGCUCAAUUUCAUAUGUGGCAAUUCUGCCAAGAUCUAUUCAUUAGUUGGGGAGAGAAAACGAGAAGCAGAGUGGGCAUAACAAAGGUAAAACUUGGCAAUCAACGUGGAGUAUGAAGAGGGCCAUACAGUAUGGAAAAUCUCACACAACAAUUCCCUUCCCAGACACUGGAGAAUUAGCACCUCACAGUGUAAAUAAAAAAUGUGACAAACAUUAUCAUUUCCCUAGGGUUGGUUUGAAGAGACAAGUAGAAUAGAAAUUUUAAACGAAGAAAGCAUGUAUUUGGGAACUAUUAACAUCUCCACAUUCACCAGUCAAGAAAGCAUAUUGAUAAUUUGUUCACUUUCUGCACUACUUCUAUCCAACAGCGGGGGUGAGAUUGGCAAAAUAAUACCUAUGCAACAGUAAAGAAAGCAACCUCUUUCCAAAUAUAUUUUCUCAUUGCAAUCCUUACAAAAUUGGAUUCCCUCAUCAACAUUUAAAAGGAAAAAGGGUAUACCCUGUAUCUCCUUCAAGCAUGUUCACUGAACAAUGAAGUGACACUUCCAACUUCUUAGAUUUCGGACAACUUGAAAGUUCACAACAUUCUACAAGUGCCAAAUCAACGCAAAAACUAUUAGUAAUCACAAUAACAAAAGAUAAUAAAUGCAAGGUAUUUUAUAUAAAUCCUCACCAUCAGGAAAAAGAAAUGAAAUUCUUUUCAAAACCCUUGAGUUCCCUCCUGAAAAGUUGUCACCCUGGAAAACCCACAAAAAUUGAACCAAAAAAAAAAAAAAACUUAUCUUUCAAAUAAACUUUUGCAAGAAGGCCAUAAAAUAUAACAAGAAAAAAAAUUUUAAGAAAAAAUCACUACCUUUAAAUUAGUCAUGAUAAAAGCAUAAUGCUCAUAUAAUUCAUCCAACACAACACCUCCAUCUGACUCAAUUUCGCCAAUUAGCUUCUUUAAAACCCUUUUCAAGUAAGGCCCCUGCUGGCAACCACCAUCCCCUACCUAAACAGAUACAUGAAAACCUCUCCCAAAAAAAAAGAAGAAGAAGAGGAAGAAAGAAAGAGGACCAGUCAAAAAAUUCAAAAAUUUCAUUAACUUACUGUAGUGUUAAUAUAAUUGUUCCAAAUGAAGCCCUGUAUACUUUCCCCAAUCAAACCACCACCACACUUCCUGACAGUUGUUCAAAAACUUUGCAUGUGAGCCCCAGAAAUUUACCGUUCCGCACAAUAUGAUAGCAUUUGUUUACCUUGCCAAGGAGAUUAGGACGUCAGGGGGUUCCAUUGCAAGAAAGGCGGAAAUCAGAUGUAGAUACGGAGGCUUAGAAAUGUCUACUGCUUGCUGGUUUUCUUGGAUAUCCAUGGCCUUUCUGAACAGAGUAUGCUUGCAGACGACGUGUUUGUUAUUUUGCGCCAAAGACUUCUUUGCUGGGGAAAUAAAAAAACCUUUUUAAGGAAAAAUCGUUUUUCAAGUGGAUAAAAUUUCGUGUCCGAACCUCUUGCGACCAUAUUUUGCCUGAAUCCAUCAUUUUAAAAGCAAAAAUGUUAGAUCUUAUUUGUAGUUAAACAAAUAAUCCUGUCCAUUUUUAUUUUUGCCCAUAAAAGGUCAGAUCUACUAGAAGUAGCAAAAUGAAUUCGUAUCCACCAAUCCAUCCAUAUAAACCAAUCUUAAAUGGAUUUGGAUGAUACAUAUAAAUUUAAUGGUUUUAAAUAAAUAAUUUAUUUAAAUUUAAUUAUAUUGGUAGAUUUAAAUGGAUUAUCUAUGUGUCAUUCAUAUACAUUCACUUAACUUAAAAAACAGAAAACAAAUAUGGUGAUUGCAAAUAUUUAUAAAAAGCGAGAUAGAACCUCAUGGACUAUUUAUUCUUUCCUUCAUAACUUUCUCACAUGCCAAAUUAAUUUUGUGGAAUCACCUAUCCUUUCUUUCAUAGCUAGAAGUGGCAAAAUGAAUAUAUGGUUGAUAAAUGGUUUUAGUUAAUUAUUAUAAUUAUAUUUAUGUAAUAUAUAUUAUAAAAUUAUUAAUAUUAUAAAAUAAUAUAUUUAUAUUAUUUAUAAAUAUAUUUAUAUGUGCAUAUAAUUAUAAUAUAUAUAAUUAGAAAUCUUAGUUCAAAUUUCCGUGUUCCUUUUUCACUUCUCUAAUCCGAGUUUAUUGUCAAAAUAACUCUUCUUUUGAAACAUAUACCCAAAGUAACCUAAUUUUAAAAUUUAUUACCUUUAUAAUUCUUUUUUUUCAGUAUAGGUUGCAUAUGUGAUAGGAUAGAGAUAGAGGUACAUACUAUCUCUCUUUCCCAAUUAAUAUCUUCCCUGAUUCUCUCUCUGAAUCUACCCACUUUUUUUUCCUUUAUUAUUUUUUGUCCUUUCGUUAUUUUUCCUUGUCAAAUGUAAUUGUUAAAAUUCAAUAUUUAUAUUAACAACAUCUAAAACUUCAUUAUCAUUCCUGAUAUUGUAUCUGUAGAUGAAAAUAUUCUGCUCGAAUUGAUAAUUUCUAGAUAAAUGAAGAUUAUUCUCUUGUCUUUUCUGUUGUGCAGUUUUUGGAACAUUCCUAUGGCCUUCAAAAAAUUUUGAAUACUAAUUGCUUUAACAAAUGAUUUCUCACACCGUGUGCUUGAUAAAAUGUCUAAGAGGAAAACUACAUAACAACAUAAAUUCAUGUUCAAUAUAAGCAUGUUCAUUUGUAGUGCCUCUCUAUCACAUAAUCAAAUAAUCUCGUAUACUUGAAGUAUUUUUGCACAUUUAUUCAACAUCAAUUAAUGGCUUGUGUUACUUUUGAGAAACUUUAGCAUUAUCUUAAUUGCAAUAGUUUGAUUACUUUUUGUAAAAGUACUUUUCAAGGAGUAGAAAGCAUAACAUAAACAAAUAUGAUAACCUUGAAAUUUUUUAACUUUUUCUUAUUAUUGCUUAUAAUGUUCAUUGCAAUUUUUGUAUUUUGCAAAUUUAUUUUUGAAAAAAUAUAUGCAAUAAGUUUGAUACAUUUUAAAAAAUUGCAGAGAGCAAUAAUAGCAAGGUCGAUAAUGGUAAAUUUUAUUUUAAAUAAUUAUAAGGAAAUUAUCAAAGUUAUGAAAUUUUCUUGUGCGACUAUAAUAAAACAGUUUAAAUUUUUAGUUUUUAUUGAAAACUAUAAACUAGAUUAAAGCUUUCCUUUCUUGUUAUCCUACAUGACAAUCAAGGUAAUUAGGUGGCAACAAUAACAUCGAUUUGGGAAUAAAAUUUGAAAGUGAAUCACAUUGGGAAUAUUUUUUAGAAAGAGUGUUAUUUUGGCAAAAAACUCCCUUAAAUCCCAUCUCUUCCCUAUUGAAAAAAAUAAAAAGAAAAAAAAAUGAUCGCCUGACGCACCAAUAAAUAAAGUGGAAAAAAGGAGGGAAGAGGGUAAGUUGCCAUAACAAUUUCACUUGCCAAGUUUGACGGAAGACUCUGAAAGGCUUUCUUUAGAGUGGCAUAAACCUAACCACAUUUAGUUUUAAUCAUUGCUUAGUUUUAAUCUUCAAACGCAAAAGUUCAGAUGCUUCGACAAGGUCUAAGCCUAUGUUACGAACAUCCCCAGUCCAUGUGCAGAUUAUAGAGUACUUAAUGAAUGAGAAAUGCUUGAAGAUCAAUGCAGUAAACUCCUUCAGGCUAAACAGGGUUGGAUGUCCCUAUCAUGUGUUCCUCCAAUUUCAUCGAACUAAAAAUCGCAGAGACGAUUCGUUAUGAUGGACGGCAGAGGUCUCUGAAUCAAACGCAACCUCAACCGUCUGCUGCUGGCUUGACAGCAUCAAGACAACCACAAACUGAUAAAAAAAAAAUGUACAGAUAAUCGAGGAACAGAGAAUGAUCAUAUGCCCCCAGGAAGCAAUGGCUAAUUGUAAUGGCAUCCCUGAUUGCAACAGCAACAUUUGAGGUCGCACUUCACCCUCCUGGUGGACUCAAAGAGUAACAAUAAUACAACUUCUCUUGCAGAUAUUGCAACUCAUAGGCCAGGACAUGCAAUCUUUUAUGACCUGAAACGCUACGAAUCUAAUUGUUUCCUGUUUUGUAACACACACGUCUUUGUGAUUUCUGAUAGCAUCAUAGUUGCUCUGAUAAGCCCAAGAACGAUCAAAUUCGAGUUUAGCAGAUUUUUCAACUAUAUGCUUUCUUUGCUGUUCUGGUUUGCUCUCAACACUUGGUUCGGCUUUUCACCCUUGAUUGCUGCAGCAUGGAAGAUGUUGAGGAAGUUGAAAACUACACAGCUUCUUGAGUGAGUUUUUUGUCAGAUACUAUCCACGAAAGAAGUGCUACAUGUACUAACUGUGGAAAUCAAGUAAAAGUCAUUAUUCUGUUUCUGCAUAAGCUAUUAGUAUUGAUUACCAGAAGGGUGGCAGACUAGUGGUUUGUGCAAACUUUUCUUUGUCAUUUUUUGAACUUUCAAUUUUAUUCUUAUAGAAGCUAAUUUUUAACUUAAUUGCCUAAUCGUAUUUUGCCAACAUAACUACUCAUAACCACCCUACACAUUGUAACUACCAAAUUAGUAUAACAUUAUAAUUUUAAUAAACUUAUUUAAAUUGUAUUUAUGUAAAAAAAUAAAAAUUCAUAUAAUAUUAAUUCAUUUAAAUUAUUUUUAAAUUGCACAUACUUUGGCUGUGCCCUUAACAUUAGUUGUUAUUAUUAUUUUAAUGAUGGCAACAUUCUUAAUCUUAAAGGUGGUUGGUUCUUAGACCAAAUAUAAUCAAGCAAAUUGAACAUAAUUUCUCUUAAUUAUAAUUGAAUAUCUCAAGGUGAUGGAAUUUUUAUUCCUAUGUAAAAAGUUCAAGCAUAUUGUGUUUAAGAAACAAUAGCCUAAUUCAAGGUUAUUAUUUCUCUUUAAUCUGUACAAUCAAAAGAAAUAUAAGCUUUUCUACACAAUCAAAAGUAGUUGAACAAUCGAACAUAAUCAAAUUACAAAGAGUGCAUUAAUUAGGAGAAAUGUAAUUUUGAGAAAAUUCUACACAAUUUAUUUCUUACAUGAUAGGACUGGCAAUAGGGUUGGAUUGACGCAAUCUUGGACCAGGGGUUUGGCUACCAAUGUUUAUAGGCUGGCAAGGUGAGAACUCAAAAUAUAGACCCAGUUAAAAUGGGUUGAGCUUCGAUAAUGCUCUGAGUUCAACCAUACAUAAGCUUGGCCCAUAUAAUUAUUUAUUUAAUGUAAAAAUUAUAUAUAAUAUUUAUUAAAUAAAAUUGAUAUAAAUAAUUAAUCAUUAUUUAAAGAGUUAUGAAUUUGUAGGCAAAAUUUUUAAUAAGUUACAAAAGUUAUCGCAUUCCUUUGUAUGUUAUUAUUUUAGUGCCAACAUUCAUUGUAUCAAGACGGUUUUGUAUGUUGUUAUUUUAAAGUUAACAUUCAUUAUAUCAGAGCGUUUCUUUAUGUUAUUAUCUUAGUAUACACUAUCAUCGUUGAAUUCAUAACAUGUGUACAAAAAUUAAUUUUCAAAUUCAAAUUUUGCAUAGUUAUCAAUCAUCCAACGCUAAUAGUGAUUAAUUCUUAUUGUACGAGUAAAUCUUUCCUACACUGACGGUGUAUACACUAUCAUCGUUGGAUUCAUGACAUGUGCGCAAAAGUUGAAUUUCAAAUUCAAAUUUUACAUAGUUGUCAAUCAUCCAACGCUGAUAGUAUAUACACUGUCUUUUAUUUGUAUUAGAAUCUACAUUAUAUGAUAGAUUUCUGCUAUUUUCAUCUACACUUCAACUUCUGAUUCACCUUGUUAGACAAGGGAACCUUUAUUGGGGCAUUUUAAUAAAAGAUCAAAUGGUAUUGACCAAAUUUUGAAUCAGUGAGUAGCUUCUAAAGAAUUUAUUUUGGGAAUUAUGGGAGUUAUAAUUCAUUUUAAAAGGGUUAUAUAUCUUACGUCUUAAAUGAGAGAGUUAUGAUAUUUAGAUUCCUAACUUCACUAACAAAUUUUAUACUAGUUAUAUAAGUUACCAUUUGCAAAAUUCGUCAUACAUUAUAUUUAGACAUAUGAUUUAUAUUUAAUAUUAAGUGUGUAUGUAUAGUAGGUCUGUCAAUUGGACAAGUUUUAAAAUUUUCACGCUUAAUCACAGUUAAAAAUAUAAAAAUUGAGUUCAUUCAAAUUUCAAUCAUCCAAGCUAGGGGUGCAAACGAGCCGAAUCGAGUCGAGUUUUGAGCUUAUCGAGUCGAGUCAGGCAUAUUUAUAUGAGAGCUCGAGUUCGAGCUCGAGCUCGUCGAGCUCGAAAAAUAGAGCUCGAGCUCGGCUCGACGUAAGAAAAGGAAAACUCGAGAUCGACUCGUUUAUGACUCGUGAGCUUAGCUCGAAAUCUGGCUCGCGAAUAGCUCGAGUUUCGCUCGAUUUUCUAGCUCGCAUGAAGCUCGAAAGCAGCUCGAAUUCUAGCUCGUUUGGAGCUCGAGUUCGAACUCGAAAAUAGCUCGAAAAUUUCUGAAACUUUAAGCAAGAAUACAGCAUUUUUCCCCCAUUUUUUGACAAAAUUUGCGCAUGAAAUAACUACAAUUUUUCACAUAUUCUUGAUUUUGCGGCCUACAAAUUAUGCACUAAUACAAUCAUAAAUGUCCAAAUGUCCACUAAUACAAAUUAUCCAAAAAUUAUCCACUAAUACAAAUUAUCCAAAUGUCCACAAAAAUCCAUUAAUACAAAUUAUGAUAACUUCACUAAUGCCAGCAAUGGAUCUACAAACCAACCUGCAGGCAACAUGCAAGAGCUCCUUCAAUCCAUCAAGAACUUCAAAAGAUAGAAAUAUACUCAUUAAAAUGAAAUUAUAUGAGGAAAUACAGGUCUUUUAGUCCAAUUUUUCAGCCAAAGCUCAAAAUAUUACAAGCUAUCACAAAUUUACAACACAAAAUAUUUGUUAUAGACAGCUUGAUACAUCCAAUUGAAAAGAUAUAUAGGCACGAAAGUCCAGCCCCAAUUUCGUUAAGCUGUUUUAGUCUCCCUCUACCCAUUUUACAGAGAAAGCAAAAAAAAACUUGGGCAAAAAUUAAUUAUCUUUGCAGAAGAACCUGCCCGGAAAAAGAAAAUCAGAUAACUUCAAACAACUCAACAAAUUUCACGACUUUCUAUUGAAACUGUAAAUACUGAGAAAAAAUUCCACUAAUAAGUAAUUAAACAGAUGUCUCCUUAAAUGCCACUAUCCCAUAGUUACUACAAGAUCUGGAGCAAUAUCAAGCCUCUUAGCACUGUCUCCAUUUCAUUUUAAGCAUUUUUAUUAUCAGAAUCCAAAAAAUUAUAAAAUUGUAAAAUCUUAAAACUUUGGGGGAAUUGUAAAAUCUUAAAACUUUGGGGGAUAAAUAAAUAAAAAAAAUAAUAAUAAAGUAAAAUGAAGGACCAAAAUCAUGAUCCUAGGAAUGGGGUCGUCUUUUCUCCUCUGCGGACAGAACAUCAAAAAGCUCAAGUCUGAUCAUUUCCAAUCAAAAUGAAAAUCACAAGAUCCUUCCCAUGCCAUUUCAAUCCAAAUUCAUACGAUGGGAGGCAUAAAGCAACAACAAAAAAAUGCAAGACUGCAAUACAUCAAAAUUUCUCAGGUGCGAGGAAAUGAACCUGCGGACUUAGCCGGUUCUUUAACAUGAAAGAAAAAAUGCAAACGAAUCUUCUUUCAAUAAGAAUUUUCAGCCAGGCAUUUCGUCGAACAGGUUAGGGGCAUCACAAAUUUCACUAAUCUUCUACUCAAUUAAAUCUAUAUUCAGCCCCCACAAUUUACAGCAAAACCAAAAGAAUACAGUCUAAUCAACACACAGAAAAGGCCACGAACAAUCGACGUAAAAUUUGAAACAACAUGCUAACGGCGGACAUGGCACGUUCAUCAGCAAACAUGCUCUGAAAUCUUUCAAAGCUUAUGUUCGAAUGAAAACUGAAAUAUAAUGGAGAAGAUUAACUUACAGUGGUCUCUCGCGGUGAAGUUGCUGAAGUGGAGAAGAUUAACUUUUUCAGAUGAACCUUCCUUGCUCUGUUUUUUCGCAGCUUUGCUCCUCUGCCUUUCCUUGGAACUUGCCUUUCUUCCCAACCUGCCCUUAGCACUACAAGAUCUUGGAGGUUGCUGAAGUGGAGAUGGCGGAAGCGGUGGAGAUGCAGCUAGCAGUAGCACCGAUGACUGUGGCUGAAGUGGGAGGAAGUGAAGAAACUCGAGAUGCAGCUAGCGGUAGCAGCAAUGGCAGUGACGGAAGUGGAAAUUGGGAGUUUGGGACAGUCGGUGGCGGAGGAAGAAGAUCAAUCGAAGGAGUCAGCAGAGCAUAAAAGUUAACCUAAGUGAAGGAAGGAGGAAAGUUUACCAACAGUGGCUGAACAUCGAUUAUAGCUUAGUGCGCAGAGAACAUGUAAAUUUUAAUUGAAGCAAGGGUAUUUUUGUAAUUUCACACUUACUCGAGCCCAACGAGCGGCUCGUCGAGCUAUCGAGCCUAAGAAACGAAGGCUCGAGCUCACCUCGUUUAUCUUAACGAACUGCUCGAGCUCGGCUCGAGCUCGGUCAACACGAGCUCGAGCCGAGCUUUGACUCGAGCUGCUCGCGAGCAGCUCGCGAGCAGCUCGAGUCGUCACCAGUCCUAAUCCAAGCUCAGCUCUUUUACAUCAUUAGGCUUUAGGCAUCAAUAUGGGCUUGUCCAAAUUGAACAACUUCCUAUUUUAAAAUUAUAUUUUCUAAAAAUACAAGAUAUUAAUUAAAUAAGUUUAAAGUUUAAGAUUUUAAUAGCAAGAUUAAUCAUAUUCAUUAUUAUACAUUUCAAAAUAAUUGUCCGUUUGGAUCCCUUGUUUUUGGGGUUAUUUUUGAAAAACUGUUUUUCACAUUCCAAAUGCUACAGUAAAUGUGUAUUUCCAAAACAACUCCGAAAACACCAUAUCCAAACAUUAUAUCAAAAACAACUACAUAUGUAUAUUCAAUUUGUAUAUUUUAAUUAUGUAUAUUAUAUAUAUUAUAUUAAUAUAAAUUGAAAUAUACAGAUUGAAAAUUAUAUAUAUAUUAUAUAUUAUAUAAAUAUUUAUAUACAUUAAUAUUAUACAUAAUAUUGUAUAUUAUAAAUAAUAUAAUAUAAUAAACAUAAUAUGUAAUAUUGUAUACAUAAAUGUGUAAAUAUUUAUGCAUAAUAUAUUAUGUACAUUAUAUUAUAAUAUAUACAUUAUAAAUGUAUAAUAUUAUUAUGUACAUUAUUGUGUAUAAUAAUGUAUAAUAAUUUUAUGUAUAAUAUUUAAUAUGCAUAAUAUGUAAUAAUGUAAUAAUGUAUAUUAUGUAUAAUAUAUUAUAUAUAUACAAUAUUAUGUAUAUUAUACAAAUUGAAAAUUAUAUAUUAUAUAUUUAUAUACUAUAUAUUACAUGAAUAUUUAUAUAAUGAAAUAUACAAUAAAUAUUACAAAUUGAAAUAUUAUACAAACACCAAAUUUAUAAUAUUAUAAUAUUUAUAAUUAAUAUUAAUGUAUAUUAUAUAUAUUAAAUAUUUAUUUAUUUAUUUAUAAAUAUUUUAUUUUUUUUAAAAAAUAUUUUUAUAUAUUUAUAAUAUAUUUAUAUGAAUAUUAUACAUUAUAUAAAUUAUAUAAAAUAUAAAAUAUAAUAUAUAAUAUAUAUUAUACAUUUAUAUAAAUGUACAUUUAUACAUAAUAUAUAUAUUAAUGUAUAUUUAUAAUAUACAUUUAUAUUAUGUAUAUAUAUAAUAUAAUACAUUUAUACAUUUAUAUUAAUAUACAUAAUAUUAAUUUUACAUUUAUACAUUUGUACAUUUAUAUUAAUUAUAUUAAUAAAUUUAUACAUAAUAUUAAUAUAUAUUAAUAAAAUUAUAAUUUAUAUAAUAUUCAUUUGUAAUUUAUACAUUUAUAAUAAUAUGCACUUAUACAUUUAUAAAUAUAUUUAUAUUAUGUAUUAUAUAUAAUAUAAUACAUUUAUAUAUUUAUAUAUAAAUACAUAAAUAUAUUUAUUUAUAAAUAUUUAUAAAUGUACUAUAAAUGCAUAAAUGUAUAUUUAUAUAAAAAUAUAAAAAUUAUAAAUUAUAAUUUAUACAUUUACAUAAUAUUCAUUUAUAAUUUAUACAUUUACAAUAAUAUACACUUAUACAUUUAUAAAUAUAUUUAUAUUAUGUAUUAUAUAUAAUAUAAUACAUUUAUAAUACAUUUAUAUAUUUAUAUAAAUAUAUUUAUUUAUAAAUAUUUAUAAAGGUAUUAUAAAUGCAUAAAUGUAUAUUUAUAUAAAAAUAUAAAAUAUAUAAUUUAUACAUUUAUAAUAAUAUACACUUAUACAUUUAUAAAUAUAUUUAUAUUAUGUAUUAUAUAUAAUAUAAUACAUUUAUAUAUUUUUUUAGUGAAUUUAUAAAUACAUUUAUUUAUAAAUAUUUAUAAAUGUAUUAUAAAUGCAUAAAUGUUUAUAAAAAUUAUAAAUUAUAAAAAUACCCAAAAAUAUGUUUUAAAAAUAUCUCUAAAAAUAAUCCAAAAAACAUCUACAGUAAAAGUUUUUUAUAUAGUUUUUGAAAAACAACCCCAAAAACAACUAAUCCAAACGGACUUGUAUUUCAAAAAUGAAAUGCUACCGUGCUGUUUUUGAAAAACAACUCCAAAAACAGCUAAUCCAAACGGAGUUAAAGUAGAACAUUUAUUUGUGACGUGUGGUUGGUAGGUUUUAUUAACUACUGCUUGUGUUUGUUUGGACAGCAGAUUACUUGGCCAAAUAUAUUUGCUUACAUCAUCAUUACAAUUUUCAAUACAUUUUUUUAUCUUUCCAAUUACCUUUUUAUCUCACAUACAUCACAUCACAAAAAGUGAUACAGUAAAAAUAUCUCAAAUAAUUUACAAUCCAAAUGUAUGUGAAAUAAAAAGGUAAUUGGGAAGAUAAAAAGAUGUGUUGGAAAUUGUAAUGAUGAUAUAAGCAAAUAAAUUUUGACAAAUAAUCCUCUAUCCAAACAAACCCAUCUGAUUUCCAUGAUAAUCCAAAAUAAUCCUCUUUUGCUCAUGUCUGAUGUCCAUGACACAAGUUUGGAUUAGGUACACAUCUAUCAUUAAUAAAAAAUUGAUUCAUAUGAUGGAUUAAUUGAAAAAAUUAUAUUAAGCAAUUCAUCCUGGUAAAUAUUGGCAGUGUUAAUUUUAUUUGAUUGAGGUUUAUAUCCUUUACAAGAAUCAUUUGGUUGUUAUAACUGGCUUGUUUUAAUUGAGAAUCAUUUGAAUUUGUUUUGAUCAUUCAUAAUUGCCUUUUUGUGAUUUGACAGAUAUGAAUUAGCUGGAGAGUAGGUAGAGGAUACAUCAAUAUCUUUUUUUUUUUUUUUUUCCUUUCUAGCGAUAUAUUUUCCAAACUUUUCCAAAUGAGUCUACUUACCAAAAAUGACUUAAAAAAAAUCACACACGACAUUCCUGACAUGAGUCCACUUAAAUUGCUUUUGUAAGCAAUUUCACUAAUACCCCCUCAUAUUUGAUAAAUUUAAAAUAGAUAUAUAUUGGGCAUAGUAAAUUAACUAUCUAAUGCAAAAACUUGAGGGCUGCCAUGGAAUCGAAUUUUUUUCUCUCUCUUAAUACCAAUUUUAUAUUGUUUUUCUAUUUGAAUUGGAUUGAUUUGUUACAAACUAAUUAAUUUUAGGGGAGGUUUCUGAUAUUUUGAAAACCUCACAGGAGGGCUUAAAUGGUAUUGUCCUUUACUACAGGACUUUUCUUUCCAAAUACUUCCCACAUUUGGACCGAAACUGUAGCUUCCCUUAUUUGUCAAGAAAGAGCCGCUGGAUUCCCCUCUGGAAAAAGAAAUAAGUCAAGAGAACAAAAUCGACAUCAGUCAUAUGAGAUUUAGCAAACCAACGGCGAUCAAAAUUUGCACCGUUUGACGUCCGACAAGAACAAAAAGCCAGCACUAUCGUCGGUCACGAUUAGGACACGCAUGCGUCAGUAAGGCGGUAAUAUGGCACACUGAAAAAGUCAAAAUUUAUUACUCCUACUCUGCAACUCAACCAUCUUCAAUCCUUUUUUUCAAGAACAAAAGAACCCGUCCCAGUUCGUCGCUGUACUUUCCUUUCCAAUCACAGCAAUCCCAGAAAGAAAACAACCAGAAACAUGGCAGAAAACAAUGGAGGAAUUGAGGUGAUUCAUUCAUGGUCUGCUCCCAGGUCUCUCAGCACCAGCCUUAUGUACUCUUUUGCCCAGGUAUUGAAUCCUUGUCAACCGCUUUUAUGAAAUAGUGGCAUUGAUGAAUGUUUCUGUCUGUCUCUCUCUCUUCUUCUUUUAUUCUAAAUAUAUUCAUUUUCAGACGCGGAUUAUGUCUUGUUUUCGCUUUAUUCCGAGUCCCUUUUCAAAUUUGUUUCCAUUCUUUCCAUCUACUCUUUUUUUUUCCUUCUUCUGUGGUGCUUUUGAUUGUUUUGGUAAUAGAUAUGCAGUUCACAUUUUAUGUAGAGUGUGGAAUGAAUACUCAACUGCGUUAUAAGAAUGUCAAUUGUUGGUGAUUUUGGCCUAAUGGUGGUUGUCUCCAGUCUCACUCUCUUGGAUUUCUUGAUUUCAUUAGUCAAUAUUUGAAUUGUUUAUUUCACGUGUUUGCAUUGAUUCUAGUUUGUGCUAACUGAAAGUAUGUAUGUUGCUUCCCAACUGUUUAAUCACCAGGUUAGCUACUCAGUUUAAUUACAGUGACCUCCCCUGUUGUUUGGCCCGUAUGGCUAGUUUCCACAACCUCCAAACUGAAAUUCUAUAGCUAAUAUUUUCAUAGCAUGGAGUAGGGUACUUUUGCAAUCCCACAUCCACUUGUUGCUGGCAUACAGGGAGAGAUAGAUGGUAGAGAGCUGCCUGUGCCAAAAGCAUUUUUUAAACUUGAUAUGACCUUGAGAUAACCUCACUCUAAUUUUAACAACCAGAAAGUAGAUUUUUGUAGUUAUCACAAAACGUCAGUCUGUUCAUAGCAGGGUAUAUUGUGCAACCAAAACUGCCAAAAAGUGAUAUGAAGAAGUCUCGUCCAAAUAUAACUUAUUUGAUUAGCUCAUCUCUGCAAAACUUGCUCGUAUAGUCUCUUGGUUGAACUUUUUGGAAUUAAAGUGUCCAGGUAUGGCCCACUUCUUUUAGGAGGCAUUAGAACUAAUGUACUAAACAGGUGGUCUUCCAGACUACAAUUGUUGUAUGCUACAUUAGAGAAAGAUUAACCAUGCUUGUAAUUGAUAAAAAUUGUACCUCAUGGCUGCAUAUGCUUAACAAACUAUCUGGAAUUCAGGUUUCACAACCUCAUUAACACGAAGUUCAGUUGCUAAGUAAACUUCAUGGUUAGAGUGUCAUGACAAGUACUUUGUUAGCAAACAGCAGAGAUAAGAAACUGACAAUACAGUACAAAUGCCUUUAUUUACAAUUCAAUUUAGUAGCUUAGUUGCGUGCAGAUCAACUAAUCACAGGAUUGUGUAGCUUCAUUGACCAAUUAGUCAAAAGAUUUCGUAGUCCACUCUCACAGUUCUGUGUAGAUAAUUUGAUUGUUAUGUGAGGGAGAGAAGUGUACUAUUGAUAGUUGAUCAUUGUUUCUUAAUGGCUUGUGUAAACUUUUGAUUUGAUUUGCGCAGAGAGAUGAUACAGAGGUGCUUGAUGAACCACUAUAUGCGAAUUUCCUGCGCGUAACGGGGUUAGAAAGGCCAUACCAACAAGAACUUCUUUCCAAGUUGGUACGCCCAUAUGGAGCUCUAGCAUGUGCAGUUUGAAUUGCAGAAUCCAUUUCUUUAAUUGUGUUUCUUCUCAAAUUCAGCAGUACAAAUUCAUAGUUUAUUCCCCUAGUUUGAAUUUUGCUUCUUUACUAGUCUUAUUCUAGCUUUGCCUUGUGAUGCUGACAUGUGCUGGAUUGUGCUUAUUACUGAACUAUGGGAUAAUUAAUUUUAUGCUUCUAGCAAAGUUAUGUGUUCAUACAAUGUUUUGAGGUGCUUAGCCAGCUAGCUUUCUAGGUGGUAUUUAAAAAGUACAAACUUCAGCAUUGAGUAUAUCUUGAGGAAGUUUGUGUAGUACCAAUGACCUUGUUGCUUCUGCAGAAAAGUUCUUUGAUGAGCUGAAGAUCAGGUAUAUCAGGCUUGGGAGAGAAUUUUGAUCUGUGAAGCUAUAGGAGACAUAUAUUAGGUUAUGGUGUUGAUCUUAAGUGAUGGUGGUCACCAGGAAUUUUGUUAAAGCAUUGAGGCCCAAGUAAUUCCUCUACUAGGAGGCUAAGAUUUUUGCUUCUUUGUGGGUGGAGUUGAAGAGUUUAAGGUAGAGCAGACGUGCACUUGUUAGAUUGUUGUAUUGGUAAGGUUUGAUUAAAUGAAAGUUUAGGCCUAUUCACGCCAUGUCAUGUCAAAUAAAGCAGAGAAAAUGGAAAUUGUAGGAAGAUCUUUUUAUGAAUAAAUUACUGACAGAAGUCUUCUUGGACCACCUAUACGGAUACAGUCACCUAGGAUUUGGGGACUAAAACCUGCUGAAGUCACAUUAUUACAUGCCAACUGCAUAAUUCAAAUUAUUUGUUACCCUUGACCUAAAUGCUUAAUCCAAGUAACUCAUUGACCUAGGAUAUUGUAUACUAAUCACAUCCUUUACAAACAUUUGAUGUGGGACUUCGGGGGUCUCACAUUCAUUUUCUCAAGUUGAACUAUAACGAAUUACAUAGACUGCAUUCUGAAAAUUGUAGAUAACUAGAUUUGCAGCUCUAAAUCAGUUGAUAAUUUUUUUUUUUCUAAAUCAGUUGAUAAUUUGAUGAAGCUUUCCACUCGUAAAAGUUGCCAAUUAGUAGCACAUACAAGAGCAGGUUGGAAGUUUAUUGCAUAAAAGUUGUGCUUUUUUUCAGCUUAGACAACUGUAUUUUUCAAAGACUUACUUUCUUACUUUUAUUAUUUUUUUUAUCAGGUUCUUUCCAUUAACCUUGAAUUCCAUAGGAUGGCAUAUGUUCUAUUUUGUUAUUGAGCUUCUUAUAAGCUUCAGUCAUUGUAAUCUAGUUGCUAUUGUGAAAUGAACAGGAAUCUGAUGGAAAUAAGGUGGUCAGGGAGAUUAUUUUUGGUCCUGGAGGAAAGAAGUAUCGGUUUUGUAAGGUAGUCUUCUGAUACUCCAUAUUGCAGACUCUUUGCUUGCCUCUCUGUUCCUGCAAAUCUGUCCCAUAUUUUGGUCUCUUUGCCUUCAAUUUUUCAUUAACAAAGAUUUUCUCAUCAUGUGACUGCAUCAUGUUUUAGGUUAAUGUAGUUAUCAGAUGCGAAAAUAUACUCAGUGAAGUUUCCUGUUUUGUUGUUGUUAUGUUUUGGCAGUGUUGAAAUAGGUGAUUGUUGUUCUCAGUGUUUUUCUUUUUCCUUAUUUUCUUUUAAAAAACUAGUACCUAGUAGAGUAUGUGAAGUACAAAACCUUUCAAAGCAGAUGAAGAGUUGGAAAGACAAAUUAGGCUUAGUAAUAUAUGACCAGCUUCUGAUUCCUGUGAGGAAGAAUAUUGGGCUGAGGAUUGAUGUACACAGAUUUUGAUACAAUUUGCACUUCUUCUGGCUUUGAAGUUUGUUGAAAUUCAAUAUAUGUUUGAGUUUUGUGUAUCAUCAAUAUCAAGAAUCAUUUGUUUAAUGUUGAAGGAUAAGAUUUUUUUUGAUGAUUUUUCAUGAAAUUGUAGGAACUAAUUUGUGUUUUUUCUUCAUCUAAUUUAUAGCAUUUGGCUAAACAACUUCUACCUGGUUUGAGUGAAGAUUUGAUGAAGAAAGGAAAGCACUUCAUACUUAUCCGGAAUCCUCUUGAAAUUUUGGUGAGUAUGUACUGUAUUACCUUUAAGUUUCAUCUAUUAGACUUGAGAUUUACUUUGCAAAUUGCAUUUUAAUUAAACACUAAAAUACUCUUUCCUUAUCUAACUGCACUUUUGUUCAGUUAUAGGUUAUUAACAGGUUUAUUUUAGUAGUUACUUCAAGGCAAAAGCCUGAGAAUAUGCUUCAGAUAUUAUGAUUAAGUGUAAAAGUUUGUAUGGCAACAGCUUUUUUUUUUGUCUGUUCUUGUUUCUGAGUAGAUCUUUGUCUAUUAUUGUCAUUUUUCUGAAUUGAUUUCCUAUAUUGGUUGUCAGCCAUCCUUUGAUAAGGUUGUGCCCCCAUCCUUUUCUGAACUGGGAUUGGCAGGAUUGGUCUCCAUAUACAGUCAGCUAUGCGAAUUGGGAAAGCCUCCAGCAAUCAUUGAUGCGGCAGAACUGCAAGCGGAUCCUGAGGUCCUGAAGAAUUUUCCCCUUCUGUAUGGUUUUCCUUGAGGCAUUGUCUUUCCACUUCUCCUUCAUAUGGGAGUUUGACUGCUUUUUUGUGCCUUCUGGUCAUUUCCCCCAAAGUAAAGUUUUGAAUUGUGAUUUUAUCCAGGAUGUCAGGUUAUUACCAACUAAGUGGCCCAUGGUCUAAAUAAUAUAGGAUGGUCAUGGCACUAAAUUCUUUAUGCUCCUAUCUUGAUUUCAUUUUACACAAAGAAGUACAAAGAUAGUUGUGUUGGCCUAGAAAAGACUAAAACAGGAGUGAGAGACGACACAUAAAUCAAGAAAACAAACAGAUACUCUAUACUCUUCUUCUUUAGCUUUUAAUGUGGAGUCUAGAGUACUAGUUUCUGCCAAAACAGUUCCAUCUAUUGUGGAACUCUUGCCUAAAUGGGCUUCAUCAUGUUGGAAGUUAGUCUAGGGCUUCUAGCUUACUCCUUAGAACCACGGGGUUCUAUGUUAGGGGGACAGAGGUUGACUAUAGUUGCAUUCUUUCUCCUUCCCCCUCCUAUGCUGCUCUGCUCACUUGCUGCCUUGCCCUUCAUUUUCUUUAUAAUUUGGUUACAAUAAAUAGAGUUUUAUCUUGAUAGAAGGUCUUAUACUACUUGAAAGUUAAAAAUGGCCGAACCAUUUCACAUCAUUUUUGGGAAUUGUAAGCUAACAUGUAAACCUUUUAAAAGCGUGAUUGUUAGAUGAUAGAAGAUUGCUUUUAUUUGACUAGUUUUGAAAAUCUUCGUCCAUGUAUUUGUAGUUAUUAGGGUGCACUGAAUAUCACUUGUACAUUAUUACCUGAUAUUGAACAGCUGAAUCCUUCUACUCCUUUAAGUAAACAAUUUUGUUGCCUAUUGUCCUUCUGCAGUUUGCUUUACGUGGACUUUGUGAAGAUCUUGGCAUUCCUUUUCAAGAUUCAAUGCUUAAGUAAGCCAAAGCAAUGCUCAAACAACCUUCGCUCUUAAGCUUUGCUUCUAAAUUUUUAGUAAACGUCAUUGUAAAUUAUUAUGUUAAGUUGGUAUUUCAUCCUUCAGUUUUGAAACAAACAGCUUGAUUUGUAUUAGGUGAUGUGGACAAAAUGAAUGAUACAUGUUCUUGGAUAAAAAGAAAUUGAAUCGCACAUGUUCUUGGUCCUCUGAGUUGGGUCAAUCCAUUUUGUUUUCUUUGUAGACAUAUACCACAAAUAUCUGGAAGUACAUGCCUUUUGGAAAUUACUGCAUAUAAAAUUGGCAUUGAUCAAGCAGCAGAAACUGUUCACUACGUGACAUUAUUAUCUGGGAUUCACAAAUAUUUGAUUUUAUCAUAAAAUGUCACUGAGAAUCCACAGAAGAUACUAAUAUUAUGGCAUUGUAGAACUAUAUUAUCACGUAAAUUCUGAUACCAAAAGGUUAUUCAGUCAAGAAUAUAAUUCCUUAAUGCAUUUGACAGCUAUGACCUUAUUUAGUAGUCUUCUUGGUAAACUUUUUAGAUUUGCAAAACAAGCAUGUAUACUCAGGAAUUCAUUUUGGGAUAAAUAGAUCCACAUGCAUGCACAUACAAACAGGCAUAUAUACAGAUUCCUAUCUUGCAAAAAGUCUGAUAAUAUAUUACUCUAUCUAAUGCAGAAUAUAGGCUUUAUUUUUGCCCCUGCUUCCACGUUGUUCUUUGUUUUUUGAUUGAAUGCCAUGUCUUAUGGUAGUUGCGGAAGAUAAUAUUAAUAUUGACUGUUGACCAAUUUAAACUUUGUAUUUGUAGAUGGGAAGCUGGACCAAAAUCAUUUGAUGGUUUGUGGGCCCCAUGGUGGUACAAAAGUGUACGUGAAUCAACAUGUUUCACACCCAAUACAAAGUAUCCUUCGGUAGGUAGUAUUGCAGUCAACUACAUUUUGAGUGGCUUCCAAUAUUAUAUAUUGACUUAUAGGGACAACUCAAGUGUUGUUCCUCAAAUGUGUUCAUGCACUUUAAGUUGGAAGCUUACAGAAUCUUAGACUUAUGAUGCCAUAGUAUGUUCUGUGGAAUCCAACUUGUUUGCAUGUGUCAACAUUUUAGCUUGACAAAUCUUUCUACAGACCUUUUUAAUCCAAACAUCUUUACUCUCUUUUCCACUUUCUGUACUGGCCUUUCGGAUUACCCCACUCUUAAUUAAUUCUUCUGUUUCUCUUUCAUAGCAUUAUGACAGAUAUACACAAGUCACUAGCAUCAUCUUGUUCUCAUUUUAGUGUUAGAUAUAUGAACACUUAUGCUUCAAUAGUUGUUUAGAAAGUGAGUUGGAGUUUCUUAAACUUGAGAUUCCUUGAGUUGAUCUGUUUAUAGAAUAACCAGUGCUUCAAACAGCUUAGAAUUCUGUUGUUCGUAUGAUUUAGGAUGCUAGAUUAUAAGCAUGAUUUUGAAAUUAGAAGUGCUAUUCUUAGCAUGAGAUAUAGAAUGGGCAACACAGAAUCAUCAGAUGACCAUUUAAUUUUAUUAGCUCAAUAUGCACGUGCAUUGGAGAAUAAUAGCAGAUAAUCUGUACAAUGCGUUAAAAAUCUCUGAAAACCAUUUCUAGUUUCCCUUUGAUUCUAUAUUUCUUGUGUUUUUUCAGCCCCUUCCACAGCCCCUGUAUGACCUGCUGGAGCAGAGUUUGCCUUUCUACAACAUGCUUAGGCACCGAGUAAAACGGAGGUCUUCUUUGCCUCAUCCAAGUCUUCCUGUUCCUGCUAAUGAGAAGCUGCUUGCUUGGGUUGGAGAUGAAAUUGUGCCUCGUGAGAGUGCAAGGGUACUUCUUUACGGAACUUGGGGGGAAAACACUUUAUGAAAUUACAAUGCAAAAUAAACCCUAUUUAGUGAUUAAUGUAUCUUCAAGGUUAAUGAAUCUGACCCUUACUACUGGAAUUGUAAAGAUUUCAGUCUUUGACUCGGUUGUACAAGGUGGCGAUGCAGUUUGGGAGGGGCUGCGGGUGUAUAAAGGAAAGAUAUUUAAGCUUGAGGAGCACUUGGACAGGUUAGUUAAAUGAAGUUAACAGAAUUUUUGGAAUACUUGGUUUUCAUACUACCUGCAUUUCUGAAUUACUGUAAUAUACUUUGCACAGAGACAGAAGGGUUCAAAUUACAAACACUAAGGAUUUGACAAAAUUGUCAAAAAUGGUUGACUAUGUUUGUGGAUGAUUAAUUGUAUAUAUUUGAUUUCUAAGCUCUUUAUUAAAAUUUAAUAUAUAAACAUUUAGCGCCUUUGCUAGAUCAAAAUAUCUUUCUUCUAGCUGAUGAUUCCUUGAGUAUACCAGCUUCGAUAAUGGACAAGCAGCAAAAAUUAACUAAAUUUGUAACUGCUAAAUGAAGAAACUGAUGCAAUUUUUUCUUGAUCCUUGUAUCACUCUUUUGAAUCCUUCUCCUUUCACCCAUCGCAGAAUUGAGUGUUUUUGAAUUGAGUGGCUAAUGCUUCUCAAAUCUGGUGAUGUCUAAAUGAGCUGUUGGUUGGUAUCCUUCGUACUUGUUAUACUUUUUACUGAAUGUAAUGUCUUUUCUGCUGAAAUAAUAUUCUUGUAAUUAUUUAAAUUGGUAGCAUACAGGCAAUGUAAUCCUCAAUCUUAUGUCUUGUAAAGUAGUUCACAUUCUUUGCACAAGAGCAAAUUUUGUUUUUAUGAUUGCUACUAGAAAACUGACCUUUUAUCAUUUCUUAUUUAAAUUGGUAGCAUAAAGCCAACCUAGCAGAAUCCACAAUCAUACUUCCUGUAAAGUAGUUGACAUUCUUUUUAGAAGUGCAAUUGCUUGUAUGAUUGUUUAAUAGAAGGGUGAGUUUUUGUCAUCUCUUAUUUAAGUUGCCUGGUUCAAAAUUUGUUCUGGAUUUAUGCAGUGUAGUGUUAAAGAUGAAUGCCUUGUAGGAGUAAAAGAUGACCAUUUUAACAGAGUAAAUAAAGAAAUCUAAAUUACUAAGUUCAUGUCUCUUGUCAGAUUGUUUGACUCAGCAAAAGCUUUAGCUUUCAGCAAUGUACCAACUCGUGACGAGGUGAUGACUCAAUAUACUUCUUUCAUUUUCUUAUCUCCUGGCAUUAUGAAGCUAUAAUUGUAAACAACUCUACUGGGAUUUUACCGUAAUAGAACACCUAAAAUACCCUUGAAUGUCUGAUGCUGAAAAAUGUUAAUUCUUGAGAGUGAUUCUGCUACAUUAUGCAGGUUAAGGAAGCUAUAUUUAAAACUCUCAUCUAUAAUGGGAUGUUUGAUAAUGCACACAUCCGACUAACUAUGACUCGUGGCAAGAAGGUUUCUACUUCUCAUAUAUCUUUAUCAUUGUAACUGUGGAGAUUUACUAUAUAGAAGUGUCCGUUUUCUUUUUUGUUGUGAAAAUAUUUUAUUUUACAAAUUUACUAAAACUUUGUGACUAACAUUUUAUUGAUUUUUCACAGGUCACCUCUGGAAUGAGCCCAGCAUUCAAUCUUUAUGGAUGUACUUUGAUUGGUAUGAUGGACUUAAAAUUUUCAUAGAUGUUAUCUGCCAAGGGCAUGGCUCUAAUUAUUGUGUAUCUCACUUUUAUUUUGGUUACUACAUGGUAUUGUUGCUUUAAAAGAAUUGCUGGUGUGGUACUAGGUUGGAAUUCUGUCUGUUUCUUGGUAUCUUGUUCUUUCUGAAGAAUCAUCAUUGAUCUCCUUUAUAUAUCUAUAUGUUCCUUAAGCCAAAUAAAACAUAUUCCAUAAGGAGAUCAUCAAGUUGAGCCUUCUUGCCCAGUUGAAUAUCCAAAAGAUUUCUAUUUAGUUGUUUUUUACCAUUACAUUUGUGCCUCAAAAUUUUCUGUUGUUUUUAAUGUCUUUUGGUCUAACACUUCCAUUUUUUAUAACGUUAUGAAGGAAUGAUAUAAUGAUACAAGUUCUACAAGUUAACUAGUUGCUAGUGCCAUAAUAUAUCCAAGUUACUUCUGACAUGUGAGACUGUAAAAAAAAAAAAAAAAAAAAAAAAACUGUGAGACAGUCAAUGAGGUAUAGCAAGCUUCAUUUGCAAUUCAAACAUUGUCUAGGCUGUGUACUUUUCCCUGAUUCUUGAAGAAGCCUACAACUUUUUCCAUUCAUGGAAGCUUAUUUUUACACCAGAGAGACCUAUGCAACCUAAAAUCUUUUAAAAGAAUGACUGAAUCCACAACAGAUUAUGGGUUGCAUUUCUUGACAAACUGACCAUGGAUUUGGGUAUCGGCAAUGACCUAGGCAAUUUUUGAUAAUUUUUUAAAUUAUUACUUGGUCCUCAAACCCUUCAAACCAGACUAAAAGAUGCAAGAUAUGCAUCUUGAUAAACAGUCUUAGAGAGCUUGUUGAGGCUCCGUGACUAACAAUUUUUCUUAUACUGGCAUCUGACUGAUAGAGUUUCCAUGUGCUGUUGAGGAUAGGUUGCUUCUGAGAGAACUCCACCUCAUAUAUUUGCACCAUCUAUAGCAUUUAGAGGGAACAUGUUAGUUAAUGUAUCAGCUACUUUGUCACUUUUCAUUUGCAAAAAAAAAAAAUGCAACAAUCUGAUUCUUUGCAAGAAAUUUCUCUUUCCAAGUUUGCCUUUCCAAUUAGCUCUGGCAGUUACUCUACUUGAGCAGAAAAUUUUGCCAUAAGAUAUGCUUGAGAACCAAUCCUAAAUUAAGGCAUCUAAUAUAGCAUAUUGGCUAUUUUACUUCACUGUAAUUGUCUCCUUUGGGUUUUGGCAGUGCUUGCUGAGUGGAAACUGCCAAUCUAUGAUAAUACAAGGGGGAUAACUCUGGUGACAGCAGCCACACGUCGUAAUUCACCAAAUGUAAUGUUUUUAAAUGGUUUCUGUUGUUGCCUUCUACUUUAUGCCAUAUUCUUCUCUCAUUUAGAACUGAUCUCAUCAACAAAUUAAAGGGUUUGACAAUUAUGAUUGUUUUCCAUGAGAGGGAUUGGAGUUAUGCAUGGACUAGCAUGUGUAAUUUUAAUCAUCAGAGUAUUCGUGUUGUCCCUAUUUACGUUAUGACAUAUGACAUAUGACAUCUGGCAUUGUAAUUUCUUAUACUGAUCCCAUUAUCCAUGAGCAUUGUAUUUCUGGCUUGCUUGCAACAUCAUGCAUUAUGCUCAGUGACCUAAUGUCAAACACGUGCUUCCUUCAACAUCAUGACUGCACUCUGUAUGGCUCUCCAUUGUCAGAAUAUUCUGUUUGAUACUCAAACUCAUCUGCUGAAUAGAUAUAUGGGAAAGAAAAUCCAUCUGGGGUAUAUUCAAAACAUGUGGCUAUCAUCAGCAAGUUUCACAAAGAAUUCACUCUAUGCCAGUUAAAUUCAGUUCAAUAUAAUCAGCCGAAUAUGGAAGCUUAUUUGUUAAUAAAUUAGGAUUUUUUUUUUCCAUAAGUGCUUGAGACAAGCAAUUACUGAAGCCUGUUUGUCCUGUUUUCUGUUGAUGCUCCUUGUCGUUGGAUGGAACUUGUUUUGAAUUGGGAAAAAAUAUAAAAUUUUUUAAUAUGAAUAAGAAUUUUUCCUUAUCUUAGUUAUAAUAUGCAUUAAGUUGGAAAGUGUAUCCCUGAUAUUUUUAAUAUAUUAUCGCCACCAUGGUUGUCAUUAGCUCACCUGAACUCAAAAACGGCCAUUACUUCCAGCCACAGAUGUAUCAUAUCCAUUGACAAAAGAUUGCACCACCUACAAUACAAUUUUACUGGCAAGAAAAUGUACAAGAAUGAUGGAUGUAGACCACAAUAACAGAGGCAUUCCAUAUCAUAGAUUUGCUGUGGUAAUUAGAUCAUCUGAUGUAAAGCUAGUUCUUCAGAUUUUGUGAUGAUAUUGUUGGUACACUCGUAUUUCUUCCUUAGGAAUAACUUCUACAGAGUCUAGCAGUUGAUUCCCAGGUGACCACAUUAACAUUUGUGUUUCAUUUACUGCAUCAUCUAGUUAUAUACUUGGCUAGCGGUGUUGUCUUUCAUCUUCUAGAAAACUUUAUAGGUGAAAAAUGAUCGAUUGUGCCAUCUUUCCGUCUACAGUUAAUAUUGAUAAACAAUCUUUCCAAAGAUCAUAAUGCAAAAGCUUCCUUUCACUAAAUUUUUAUAUGAGACAAUGAAAUCAAUGUUCACUUUUGCAGAAUCUGGAUUCCAAGAUUCACCAUAACAACCUUCUUAACAACAUUCUUGCCAAGGUAUAAUCUUAUUCCAGGUCUGCAACUUAUUCUUGAAAGAGAUUACAAAAGUACCUAAUCCAAUGUUUUUCCUGUCAACUUCAUAUGACUGGAAUCCUAUUCUUGACUAAGAUGUCACAUCAUGCAACAUGAUGUACAUAUAAUAACAGAGAACUCCUCUUCAGUAAUUACCUUCGUGCCCCUCUCUCUCUCUCAUGCUUUUUCAUUUGUAUCAUAAUUCGAAUUUGUUACCAGGAAGAAAAUAAUGCGAAUGGUUUUUUUUUAUCUGCUGUAUUGACAUAUUUUCAAACUGAAAAGCAAACUUGGAAGAAUGAAAAAAAGAAAACUUUGAAGCAUUCAAUCAUGGAGAAGAAUAAUGGUAAAAAGAUGUCCAGUCAACAAUUUCAUUAAAAGGAAUGGGGUGGCAUGCCAUACUCUUCCUGUUGAUAUGCAACAAUGAUACGUUAGUGUUGCCAAUUUGGUGCAGAUAGAGGGGAAUAACGCCAAGGCUGAUGAUGCCAUUAUGCUCGAUAAAGAUGGUUAUGUGUCAGAAACAAACGCUACAAAUAUUGUAAGUUUAUAUGCCUGCUGCAUAUCCUUUGUUUCUCUUGGUUUUUAUUGAUUUUUUUGGCUCCCCUCCCCUUCCUUUUCUCUUUAAUGGGGUUUUCUUGGAGCCUCCUAGAGAUGAGCUCACAGCAUGAGGAAUUGUCAAUCCUAGAUAACAUAUUCACUCUAUUCAGUCUCUCUCUCUCUCUCUCUCCCCCCCGCUCCCUCCCCUUCAUGUGGGUCCUUGGGUUUUGUGGCAAUUAUCAGGUCCAGGUUUGUUGCAGCCCGCCUUAUUUGUUUCUAGUUGUCUGUCAAUACCCACCAGCUCUGCACUAAUAAAGCUACUGUGUUUGUACGAUGUUAGGGGGUAGUCUGGUUGCUCCCAGAUGUGCAAUUUUUCUCAUGCCUCUUUGAACUAUUUAAAAGAGAAAUUUCUGAUUGGUUUCCUGAUGAUGUAUUGUAAUGUUACUGUUGCAGUUCUUAGUCAAGAAAGGUGGUGUUCUGACACCUCAUGCUGAUUAUUGUCUUCCUGGGGUGACUCGAGCAACGGUAAGCUCCAUAAUAUUCUGUUGGAUGUAAAAUUCUGAAGAAAGGCAUCUAUCUACAUUUCAGGAGUGGUAUCAUAAUUUUCUCAGAAGUCAAUUCUAACACAUAAAGACACAAAACAUUAGUAAGGCAAGGCACCAGUUGAUGCUUGUUUUGCAUUCUCUUCCAAUUCGCAAGCUAAAGUUGUAUGCAGUUGGCGUGUGUCUGCUUCCGGACAUCCAGAAAACCGGCAUUGCAUGGCCAUUUACUUCUUCUCAUGAAUGUUUCAUCUUCAAUGAUGAUGUAAUCAGAACUUGUUACCUAUCGUUUUUCUUAUUGUUUAUCUGAUAUUUGUUUUGGGAUGUCUGCAACUGCAUGACUCUUAUGGAUGUGGCUUAUAUUUCUUGGACAGUAACACCUACAGAAAUAUUUUUUAUCAUACUAUAGAUAAAUGGUUAUAGUAGUAGUCCUGUAUAAGCCAUGAAUAGCUAGGAUGGUUGUAAGGGUUCCUAUCUUAAAGCAUAUAAACUCCAUAUAUUCUCCAUAUAGACUAGACCCAGAUAAAAUCAUGAAUAUCUUCGGUUAGCACAUGAAAGGACAAAGUUCCACAUGUUUCCAUCUCAUGCAAAUGCUUUAUGACAUCUGCUUGCUAAGUGUAAUGGUAAAUUUUGCGGUAUCCAUAUGCUUGAUCGUAAAUAUUCUUUAAGCUCUGCAGGUUAUUGACCUUGUGGUAAAGGAGCAGUUGGAUUUACAAGAGCGGCGUCUUAGCUUAUCCGAAUUUCAUACUGCAGAUGAGGUCUGGUUUUGUUCUUCUAGAUACUAGCUGAACAUCCCAUUAAGAAAUUUUCUAUUCUGCUUUCUUAUAGUGAAUCUUGAGCUUGGCAAAGUUUGUGAAUGCUUAAGAAAUUACUAAGGUGGAGCUUGUUCUAUUAGGCCAAAAACCUCAUCAAGUGGACUGAUCUCAUAUUGACACUAAUGAUAUCCAUUGCGAAAGGUUGCAUAUACUUCUUCACACAUACGUGAGGAUUUCUGUCAGAAAUAUAAAAAGCGUCCUUCUUUCUUUUACACACUGAGGUUUACAAGUAACUGCAAGAUUCAGAGAAACUUACACCAGUAAUGUUUGGAUACCCUUUCAAAAGUUAGUUUGGACUUGCAUGACCAUCCUGGCACCAUGACUCAGGAAAUGGAAGUGUCACAGUUAGCUCAUUUUUCUAUUUUCCUGUGGUUGGAACUCCUUCAGGAAGUAGUCUAUUCCUACGCAUAAAGAUGAAGCAAGGGGUUUGCUAACCCUUUUUUGUCUUCGUCUGCGGUUCCAUUCUUUCUGUCAUUUAACACUUGUGAUGAAGCACAUCGAACUGGCAAAAUGAUGAAACAAUCCUUGCUACAUCAACCGACUAAUGAUAAAUUUUUGAAACUUGCCAUCACCUUCUUAAAUCCUAUCACCUCUCAAGUACAUUGUGAUUUUUAAGCUUCAUUCCUGGACAGUGUGCUGUUCUAACUAGUUGUCUUGCUUCCAGGUCUGGACUACUGGAACCGUGGGAGAGCUUAGCCCGGUAUGUCUGUGUUUUCAUAUCCUUGAGUACAAACUUCUAACAUCAUCUUUAUAGCCUUUUAAUAAACAAACUUCAUCAUUUAAUCAGUGUGGCAUUCUGUGAUCUAGUGAAUUUUAUGUUUCAAUUGUUUAUCACCAGCUUCUUGUCAUUUUUUAUUGUUUUCAAUUUUUCUUUGACUGAACUAAGGCAUUCAUCAAAAGACUUUGGUUUGUAAUCUGUUCUUUGGGUGGCAAUAGAAGCCUAACUUGUUCUUCCUAUAGCUACAUAUUCUGUCAAAAUCCAAAUUGGCUUUAUAUGGUUGGGUACUACUAAAAUGCACUUGUUAAAAAUGCAGCUCAAAAUGGUGUUUGAAUUGAUGUCAUAUUUAAUCCAUCUACUACUUAAGAGGGGUUGCUGUUCAAAAUCCUGAUUUCUUAAUAUGUUCAUUGUAGAGUAGUCAAUUAAAUCUUCUUAAUAUACUCAUUGUAGCGUCAGACCACGUGUCAUUUUGUAAUUAGACAAUGAAAGAUCUAAAAUCAUCAAAAUCUUCUGCAUCAUUUUUUAAUAACAUAUGCUGCUGGUUUUGCUUAUGUUGAUGAAUGAUGUAAUGUCACGAACCUGCACCAGGUUAUUAGAAUUGAUGGGCGCAUGGUUGGUGAUGGCCGAAUUGGACCUGUGACUCAAAGAUUGCAGAAUGCUUACAAGGAGCUGACUGAAGAGUCUGGUGUUUCUAUACCAACCUAUCAGAAAACCUGAAUUGAGGUUCUAAAGGUGUGUCUAUUGUCUCUUCUCUGGUUUGUUUCCACUGUCUGUUUUCAUUUGCCUCUCUUUUAUUCUGUGUGUGUGUCUUUGGCACUCUUAAAGUGAAGUUUGAUGGUUUAAUAAUAAUAAUCUGUAGUUACUAAUGUGCAGCAUGUGCAUUGGAUUAAUACUUCAUCCAAACUAGUACCUUUUCUUAGGCUGUUCGUACUAGUGCUUGUAUCUUUCAGUAUGCACCCAAACAACUCAGUGCUUACACGACAAACAUUAAUCUGCUGGCCGCCUAGUCCCAGAAGAUGUUACUUUUGUAUGGAAUAAGUGUGUUACAUGUGGUUGCUGAAACAAGGCCUUCAAUACCUGUUUGCACCUCCAGAUUGUACUACACAAAAUAUUAGGAUAGCUGCCAUUUUUUAUUUGCUAAGCAAAUUAUCACUGCGUUUUAGCAUGCCGCUUAAACUACUCAAGUGCUAAUAAGUUAUUCAACGUUAUUUUUUGUUUUCGGAUGAGUCUGUCUCUGUGCAAAGUCUGAUGCCUUGUGUUAGUCAGAGAAUGGGUUACCAAUUCAGCAACACUUGGAGCUAACCUGCUCAUAACCCUCCUAUAAUAUGGGUGCAAAUAUUUGUAAAAUGAUAAACAGAAAGUAAAGAAGCUUUGUGUACAGAUUGCAAGAAGCAUUGUCUUUAGACUUUUCUCCACUAAUACAUAAACUGUGAAUUUUCUGGAAAUAAGACCGUGAUGUAAACUGACUCAUGUGGAAGUUUUUAAUGAAAGAGAAAUUUUGUGGAAAGUUUCUUCUUUAAAAACAAAAGUUAACAAGUGAAUCUUUGCAGUAGAGGGAGGAGAGAUGAGUAGCUCAAACAAUCAAAGAUUUGAUUCUGGAAGCUGGAGAAAUUGAAUGAAUUCCUGUUAGUUCCUCCACUUCUUCAGGAGAACUAAAACCACUGUAUUCUCUAUAAUUGGCUUUCAGCAAAUAUUCUUAGAAACUCAACUUUUUGCUUGUAAACAGCUGUAAAUGAGUCAAACAUCUCAUUAAUGGUCGCGUAAAUUGUAUUGGGCUUAAAAAAAAAAUUAGGGAGUAGGGAAUUUUAAUACCGUGAAUUUUUCGCUGAUUUGCUGGGAUUAGAUUAUUUUUUCAUUUCCUAUUGCCUACUAAUUAUUGUUUUUAUCAAUUCCUUCAUAAAACAUAUUGGGGCAGGCUGCCAAGGUUGACAAGAUCUCGGCCAAAAAAAUUGCAUUUCAUUGGUUGAUUCAAUGUAGCAGCUGAAAGCAUGGUGCUGAAGCAAAUGUCGCCAGAAAUAAUUUAUCAUUGAUAAGGUUUAAUUUGUGACAGAAAUAAGAGAUGACAGGGGUGAUAAAUCUACUGGAAAUUUCGGCACAGAGCUAUAUUUUGUAGCUGGAUUCUGUUUCUUUAAUCUUUUGGUACCUUAUUAAGGUGGGUUUGCCUGCUUUGUCGCAAUGCAAGGUUAUGAUUUCUCUACAGGAUUAGUCUCAUAUUGCACUGUAUAAUCUUCUAAGUUUCAUUGCAUCCAAUGAUAAAGCUUUGAACUCGUUAAAGAAGUUAUUUCUACUGUCAAACUCUGUUAUUUGGAACGAGGAAUUUAUAUACUUCCAUACAAACUGGAUCUUGUGCCCUCCCUGUAUAUUGUUGAAUAGAAAGCUUGACAGUAAUCCUUUUUCUUUCCUGUUUCUUUCCUUCUUAGGUUGCUUUUUUUUCUUUUCUUUUCUUUUCAAAGAAAAUGAAGGUUUUGAAAUUCUCUCCUAAAUCUUUCUUUGUUUUUGAUUGUUAGACCAUAACUCCAAAAUCCCAGAAUGAUAUGACACCAAAGCUUUUGGAAUGGAGUUCUCCACCCCAAAUUGUAUGAAAAGAAAAAGAAUCUGAAUAAACUUUGAAAUACUUUCCAUGAAAUGUUUCGCAUAUAUUGUGUAUCAAGAACCACUUUAACCGAUCCUCAGAGUUGAAAUGUUCAAUUUCAAACAUGAUAUAAAAGGUUAGGUGCAUAAAAUUAAAAGCCCUGAGUGUCUCAAAAAAUGGUACCAACAGCUAAAAUCAGUUGUUUCCAACAGGAACCUUAGUUGUAGCACCCCUCUUAUUUCGUCUGAAUUUUAAAAAGCUGUAAAAUUACGAAUGUGUUUUCAGUUUCACAACUAUAUGCUGUCAAGUUUUUCUCUUCAAAAGAAUUCAAUCGUAAAGAGUGACUGAAUGACGCGGCAUAUAAAAGCAACAGAUGUAGAUACGAGAAUUUUUAAAAUCAGCACGUUUAAGUCAUAGAUACAAAUAUAAAAUUUUUUAAAAUUAGGGUUUCAGGCCAUCAUUUAUUUUGUGUUUGUCGUAUAAGUAAUAUGUCAUUUAGAGCAGGAUUUUCCUUUACAGAAUUAGCUAAAGAGAUUCAAAACCAACUAGAAAGGAAUCAUAAACACCUAAAAGAUAAUACUUACGCUUAUGAGAGGAGGGCAGAAAAGUAUGACAUUUUCUAAAACUAUUUCUAUCAUCCAAUAAAAAUAUAAUGAUAAGAUGAUCUUAAAAAACAUUUUUACAUGUCCAGGAUAAAUUUUGACAAUAUUGAUUGCACUAACAUGUAAAACCCAAUAAAAAUAAAGAAAAGGAAUUUGACUAAUUUCCUAUAGCACAAGGUUCAACUAGACAUUGUUUAUAGCUAAAAACAGGCGUAAACGUGAAAACCUUCAAAUUGAUGGCUGAUGAGACUGACAAGGGUGAAUCCUGGUCCAGACAAUCUUCUGCAUCCUCAACUGUGGAUAAGAGUUCACAAAAAAUAAUAAGUGGGAGGGUUGGAAAAUAUUUUAUUACUAAUCCUGCCUACGUUAUUUUUUAAUUUUUAUAAAUUUAUAGCCGAAGAUGGGUGAAAUUUAAAAAGUAGUGAGCAAGAAUAGGGAUGUGAUUUGAAUGCACACAUUUAAUUCGUAAAGUCUCAACUUUAACCACUAGACAAGGUCUCCUCCGAGACAGACUAUCGAUUUUGGGACCAAUCAAAGAAAGAAAAUACUAUAUAUGAAUUUUCUUCAUAAUCCCAAACCUUUAAAAUUAGGGGAAGCUGACCAUCAAAUUCAAAUAACCGACGGUCAAAUGAUCAUGUGCGGACCUGGUGAUGAUGCCAUGUUCUUUUUGCCAAUUCUUUCACAGAACCACGAUUUCGCGUGACCAGAAGCUCCAAUUUCGCCCAAAAAUGGCUUAUCUUGCUGGAUUUCCCCUAUCUUGAUAAACACAGUAAAAUUCAUAUUUAAAUAACCAACGGCAAACAAUUGUCGGCCAACAAUUGCAAUCUUGCUAGAUUUCCACUGUGAGUAACACAAUACAACUCACCAUUUUUGUUCCAUUAUAAGCCACACUAGGUACAUCUUAGGCUUCCAACCAUAAGAAUAGAGGAACAUGUUACUAAAGAAUUCUAACAAAAUGAUUUUUAGAUACCACUAAUAGUAAGUCAAAGUUAAAAAAAAAAAAAUUUCUACUUCAUGGUAAAUUUGUGAACUUACAAGAUAAAAGUAAAAUUUCUCACAAAAAAAGAGCAAAAUUUUCUAUUAAUUUGAGGAGCAACCUAAAGUAGGAAGGAAAUUUUGAAAAAUAAAAAAAAUUUGGGGGGCGAUGUUAAAAAAAAUAAAGGGAGAAUUUUUAAAUUCAAGGGUGCAAAUGUGAGUCAAAUAAAUAAAAAUAGAAACUUUUACAAGUUAUAAUCAUAAUUUUAAAAGUUGACAGCCACCAUCAACAUAGCAUGGCUCUACCCAUGAACAUGGAUGACAAUUAUAACUUAGCAUCUCCAAGAAAAAAGCAUUCAAUCAUCAACAUUUAACUUAUAAUAUGUUUGUUAGGUUUUCAAAGGCUGAGUACUUCCGUCUGUCCGACUUAUAUGACAACUGUUUGUGUUCAAAAUUAUUUGGAAAAAUACUUUAAAAUAAUUUGUAGCACUUUUGAUGAUUGUGCACUUUUUAUAAUAUGAUGUAUGUUAACCUAAAAAAGUUGUUAAAAAUAAUAAGUGAUUGAAAGAUGUUUUUAGUAAUGCAACAAACAACGUUUAUUCAAAAACAUUGGCUAUCCAAACACGCUUGUCCUUUAAUUAGUUGGAUGUUAGCAAGGUUUAGCAAACUAGAAUAAAAAACGUUUAUCCUAACCCCAAAAAGAAGAAGAAGAAGAAGAAGAAGAAGAAGAAGAAGAGGGAAAAAUGAUGACGAGGGAAAUGUAGAAAAAGAAGUAGUAGAGCAUUAAAUUGCUCACUUUUUCUCUAUGUGUACAUGUUUAAGAAUUUUUUUUUUUGUUUUGUUGUACUGGUUCCUUUAGAAAGAAAAAAAGAAAAACCUAAUUUAGUUCUAAACAUUAAUAUGCUACCACAUAAAUAAUCCUAAUAAUGUCAAAAGCAUACCAGUGAUAAAGGAACAAUGAAGUAUGCAAAAUUGCAGAUGAAUUCCGUAGAGGUUGAGUCAAUUAUGCCCAUAUCAUAAAUUUUAUGCACAUAAACUCCAUGUUUGGAUUGUGCAUUAUUUUACUUUAUUUACACCUUAUUUACACACACUGAUUUGCUUGCAUCAUCAACACAUUUUUCAAUCACCUUUUUAUCUCACAUACAUCAUAUCAAAAAAGUGCUACAGUACUUUUUCACAAAAUUAUCUCAAAUAAUUUACAAUCCAAAGAGUUUGAAUUGCAAUUACGGUUAAAAUGCUUUCCUUGAGAAAUGGAUUCUAGUGAUCCAUGCUGCAUAUGUUUCCACUAUAUACGUUAUUCUACUGUUAAAACAUAUGUAUAUAGUUAUUUAUACACUUGAUUUUGUCCUCUCCCUGUAAAUUCUUGAUUAGAAAAGUUGACAGAAAUCCCUUUUCUUUUCUGUUUUCCCUCUUUCAUAUGCUUUUUUGUUGAUGGGGGGGGGGGGGGGGGACUAGAAACCGUCAUCUACUAUCUUUCUGGUUGUGCAGCAGGUUGAACCAUUCUUAGACUUAUUAGCACUUCCAUUAUAGAUUCAAAUAAGAAGAUUGUUGUCCACUUUGUCUAUUAAUUACUUGCAAGCGAAUAGAUCAAUUCCCAAUGAAACGGAGACUUUUAGCCAACAGUUAUGAAUUUAUGAGAUCAGAAAUCAAGAAAAACAAAAAUCUCUUGAACUACAUAUGUUGCUAAUCUAUUUUUUAAUCUAAUUUUUCAUUUAAAAGAAAUGAAGAUUUUGAAUUAUUUAUUUCUAAUCUCUCCUAUUUCUCAAACUUUCUUUAUGUUUGAUGUUCUGGACUAUAUAUAAUAAUAUCACAGAUCCAGAAUUGCAGAUUGCAUAACAGAAUUUCCAUCACUUUUCAACUGUUGACAGAUUUCUAAGCUAAUCCUAGCUGAGUUGGUGAUGGAAUUGACUUAUUGACCUAACAACAAAGGCCCCGGAAUUGAAUCCUUCACCCCCAAUUGCAUUAAAAAAAGGCAGAAGAUGCUAUUUAUUUAUUAAAAUUUGGAUGAUUUGCACCAGAUGCUUAUCAAAUAUUAUUUGUUUUUUUUGGUCAAAGGUAAUUUUUUAUUAGAAAAAUUUUGGCAGAGUUUCCCCUUAUAAAUGGACGAAACUCCCUGCCAACAAACCCAAAUACAAGAAAUUUAUCCACAUGGUAGUAAGUUACUACUAGUGAUGUAAGCGAGCCGAGUCAUAAUCGAGUAGCUCGGUCAACGGCUUGGCUUCAACUCGGGUUGACCGAGUUCGAGCCGAGUCUCGAGCUAUUCGAUUGUCAUUCGAGUCGAGUUUCGAGCCAAUAUUUUGAGGCUCGAGACUUGUCGAGCUACUCGUCGAGUCAGGGGUAUUUAAAUAAUAUAUUUAUAAUUUAAAUAAUAUAUAUGUAUUAUAAUUAUAAAAUGACCAUUAUGGGUAUAAGUUUUACGGAAUUUACAAUAAACUCUUCUUUAUAAUAAAAUUUCAUAAUGGCAAAAAAGUAAUAACAUAAUUGUAAAAAGAUCUAAAAAGAAAAAAUGUCUAAAAAAGAGAAGAUUGGUCGAGUCGAGUCAAAAAGCUUGAUUAGGCUCGACUUGAUAAGACUUGACUAAAAGUCGAGCCUUAUCGAGUCGAGUCUCGAGUUUAAAGCGAGUUUCUUUAGUCAAGCUUCGCGUAUCGAUUUUUUGUACUCGGUCGAGCUUGAGUCGAGCUCGAGCCUAAGUAUAUAUGAGUCAAGUCGAGCUCGAGUAUAGCAAUACUCGAGCUUGACUUGGCUCGAUUACAUCCCUAGUUACUACAGUGUAACAUUACGACAGUUUGAAGACAAUUUAAUAACAACUGCAUGGUUAAAAUAGAACGGCCAACCAAAUAAGACUCAACUGCAGAAUUUCGAACUGGGCUUUUCAUCCACGCUGAACACAUUUCCUAAUUGAAGGCAGGCCUAUUCUAUCUAAGCGAAAUGCCCCACGAGCUUUCAUAGGGAGGUCCACAAGCUGAUGAUAUGUUGUAUUGAAACCUUGAUCACAUCCCAUGUUUGCUAAAGAAUCGGCAACUUGAUUACUUUCCCGAAAGCAAUGAGAAAUUGCAACAAAAUUAGACGAAAACUUUAGAAGGUAUUUAACCUCUGUAUAAAUACUCCAUGGACAGCUAUAUCCCUGUUUUAGGAUGUGAACAAGAACCAACGAAUCCAUUUCAAUGUGCAAGUUAACAUAACCACGAGAGAGACACAACUUAACCCCAACGAGAAGAGCGAGCGACUCAGCUUGAAUGCUGGUUACAUUCCCAAAAAAAGAGGAGAAAGCGAGCAGGAAAUUUCCUCCAUCAUCACGCAAAACCCCACCACCACCUGCCCUCCCUGGGUUACCCCUUGAACAGCCAUCAGUAUUAAGUUUAAAUACACCCAAGAGUGGCCGACACCACCUUACAAUCAUAAAUGAGACUUUCUUAUGAAUAUAAGAGAGCGAAAACUUCAUUAACCGGUCCACAUAUUUGAAAAUUUGUAACCUAAAACAUGCUUCCAGAAAGGUAAAUGAAAUAAACCUAAGUGUAUCAAAAGAUUACAUCAAAGCCUAGAAUCUAGAAUCGAGCCGUUUGAACGAGAACCUUAGUAAUAAUAACCCUCUUAUUUUGUUCGGAUCUUCAUUGCUGUAAAAUUGGGAAACUUCUUUCUACUACUGCAGUCAAAUUUUUACUAAUAAUUCUUCUUGAAAACUAGCUAGCCGGAGAAUAUUCAUAGCUGGAACAUACACCACUGGAGAAAAAAGUGAAAAGCCUGAGUGAUAUACUUUUUUUUUUUUUUGUCACAACGAUUGAAUUUCUAUAACCUAAUCUAGGGGGAGGAGGAGAUGACUCGAUGUGAGUACAGACUCCAUCGAUGAAGGUCAAUUAAGACCACCACAAAUUGUGGCAAAUUUUGAUGGGAGCCAAGGAUUGAAUCCUUGAACUCCCACCUUCCCAAGACUUAAGAUGUCUUUGGAUUACCAACAAUCCAAGAGGCUGUUGGCAAAAAGCCUGAGUGAUAUACGAUAAUUACAAAAUAAAAAUACAAGAAGGGAUAAAAAUAUGAGUAUGCUGUCCAGGACGUAGGUUAUCUUUUAGUUUAUGUUUGUUGUAUUAUAGUCGGAUUUUUUUUAAAAAAAGUAUAGCAUGUAUAUUUUUAUAGACCAUAUAUAUUUGGGUUCCACUCAUAAUACAAAAGAAGAAAAUCUCAAACUACAGAUGAAAAAAAAAUGAGAAUCUUAAAAAACAUUUACAUGUACUAGAGGAUGACAGAUACCCACAAUAAAAUUUGUCAUUAUUAUAGAUUGGAUUAUGAAAUGAAAAAUCCAUUUCAAAUAACAAAAAAACCCAAUGGGAUUAAUUUCCUACAGAACAAGUUUCAGCUAGAUAUUGUUUUACAGCUAAAUAGAGGCUCAAACGCGUAAACCUUCCAGUUGCUAACUGAGGAGACUUCAUCCUUGUAUAAACAGUCUUCUGCAUCCUCAACUCUGGAUAUUAGUACACCAAAGGAAUAACUGCAAAAGCUGGAAAUAUUAUUGCUAACCUACCCACGUUAUCCUUAACAGCCCGCCUAUUCUGAGACCCUUUGAAAAAGGAAAUACUAGAUAUGUCUUUUGAGUCGAAAUAAUUCCUGACCCUUAAAUCCAGUAGAAGUUGGCCUUCAUAUACAAAUAACCAAUGGUCAAUCAAUCUUGUGUCUACCUAUAGAUGCUGCCAUAUUGUUCUUGCUACCAAUUUUCUUCCAGAGGGGGACGAUGAUUUUGUGUAAUCAAGCACCAACAUCGGCCAAUACAGCCAAAUCAUGCUAGAUUUCCAUCACGAUAAGUACAAUAAAACUCACCAUUUUGUUCACUGUAAAAUACGCUUGAGAUUGGUCGACCUUGUAAAACAUAACCAACAUCAACUUUUUGUGCACUCUUAGCCUUGAUAACCCAAUACAGUAUUUAAAUUUAAUGGAUUUAGAUUUCAAUAUAUUCAUAUGCAUUUGAUAACAAAAAAUAGAACAUCUUAAUUAAUUAAGUGAUAUUUAAUUUUCUAAGCAAAACUUACUCUAAAAAAUAAGUGAUAACAUAUUCACUUAUCAGUUAAUACAAAACAUGCUCAAAUGUUAAGAUUUUAAUACCUAACAAUUCACUACCUUAAUAGAUUCAAACUUUAGGUUUCAAUUUUAUCAAACACACCCUUAACUAUGGAUUUCCGUUCUGACUUAUUCAGAAAAUUUUUGAAUAAUUUAUAGCAAAUUUUGUAAUGUGAUGAACGUAAAAAUAAAAGAAUGGCGAAAAGGAUAACAAAAUGAUAGUGAAAUGUGUUUAAUUAUACAAUAUAAAUAUAUUUUCAACAAAUUCGCUAUCCAAACAUACUUUUAUCCUCUAAUAAGUUGGAUGCCAGCUAAAUGUACCAAACAAGAAUAGAAAAAGUUCAUCAUAUGACCAAAGAGAGACAAAACAAAUGUGAUAACCACUAAAAAUAAAAGAAUAAGAUGGUCCAAUGACCACGGAAAAAAAAAAUGUAGAGCAUUCAAGUGCUCUCUCUCUCUUCUACCUCUGUGUAUAUGUGUGUUACAGAAAAGAAAAAAAAAUACUAUGUGCAAUCCAACAAAGAGUUCCAGUCAUGUAGGUAAGAAAGAAGCAUUUUUUCUUUUUAAAAAUAAAUCAUGUAGGUAAAAGUAGUUCCAUAUUUUUGUGAAGUAAUUAAUUAAUAAAUAAUCUAAAAGUCAAAUUAGAGUUUUAAACUUAAUUACAAUCAUUGUAAUUAAAAUGCUCUCUUUUAAAAUUGGAUUUCAAUGGUCCGUGAUAUUGUGACCGAGUGACGAUGGCUAAUUUUCCCUGCAUAUUUUUUAAGCAUGAGUGCUUGUUCUUGAACGCUGUACUAGCUGACUGGGGGCCUCAAGUAUUUCCAAGAAAUUACAUAUAACCCCCUGUGGUUUAGCAAUGCUAGAUGAUCCCCUUAAUGUUUUAAAAUGAUCAUAUAACUCCCCUAUAAUUUUAUGUAAAGUGGGAAAUGGACAGAAUGCACAAUUCAUUUUAGCGAUUAUAUGAGACACGCUUCAAAAAUGCGUAUCAUAAAAUCAUAAUCUAUUUAUCCCCUUAUGAAUAGUAUAAAUGUCCACUUUAUCCCUUAUAGGUUUACACUUAUCCACAUAAUCCCUCUAUAGUUUUAUAUACGGUGAUUAAGUCUUCGUUUGAUUUAGCAUUUAAGUAAGGACACUACUGGUAUUUCAACUAAUGAUGUUAUAUAGACUAUUUUUUGUCAAAUUUCCAUUUUAUAUGAAAAUAUAAAAGGUAAAAUGGAUAUUUUGAAAUGUUAGAGAGGUUAUGUGGUAAUAAAUGAAACCGCAAGGUGUUUAUUUGUAAUUUAGACAUUUAUAUUUGAACGAGGGCAUUGUGUACUAAUAUAUUCAAUGAGUUAUUGCUAAAAUCAGGUGGUGUAGAUGAAGUUUUUUUUUAUGCAUAAGGGUACGUAUUUUAAGAAAUGCAGAUUAUGUGAAGCAACCAAUAAGACAUUAUGAAUUGAAUAAUGUCAGAUUUAAUUUAGAGUUUUGCAGAUUCUGGGCAUUGAGUGUAUGUCUAUUAUUUUCAGUAGUAACCGCAUGUAGUGAUAAAAUAUAGGGAUAAUUUCAGAUACCUACCCUGAGGUUUCUGACAGUCUCACUCCCCUCUCCUGUGGUUUCAAAAUACCACUAACCUCCCCUAAAACUAAAUAGGCAGUCUCAAAGUAGACCCAAUUAAAAAAUACAAACAAUAAAAAAAUGGGGAACUAGAGAGAGGAACAACUAUAUACCACAAAUGCCCUUAUUAUCUUGCAUUAAUGAGCUAAUCUCAUAUGAAGAAAAAGUAGGGAAUUUAACAAGAAUGAAACUUGAACGAGUGUAAGUGAAAUUAAAGCAUGAAAGAAGGUCUGAACCUCAGUAGAAUGCAAUGGAAGGCAACGGCUCUUUCUGGUAGUCAUUUCUAAUGUCCAUAUGCAACUGCCAGUUUAGAAGACUCUUUAUGAGAGUAAAAUAGCAAGAGAUAUAAUUGAAGUGCUUGGUGUUGGAUGAAAAACGCAUGGACACGGGAGGAAGAUGGGUUCCAGAAACGUAUACAAACGAGAUGAUCUUAAAGGUCUUCACGUCAUAACUAUAUAUGACUAAUUGGACUAGUUUAAGAAACAAGAAAUGGUAAUAACUCCAACCAAGUGCAUGUUAGCCACAGCCCCUUGCUUUGUUUUUCCGCAUUCUAAUAUCAUGGUUCUUGGCAGACAUGGGAUGGAUGAUCCCUGCCAUCAGGAAAGGGCCAGAGAAAGCACUACAUAGCCACUCAAAAACUAAUUACUAGUAAUAUAUCAAGAUACACAGGAGCAAGAUUUCGAAUUACUCUAACAAGACUACCAAUUAAACUGGCAGUUAGGAGUUUUUCCAUCAGGAGAGACAAUCAGUCUAGAAGAUAGACUACAUUGCAAUACACAGAGAUAUGCAAGCAAGAACAUAGUACAAUAAUUAACUACUACAUAGGAGGUGGUACCAUUUCAGUUCAGAAAUUUAUUGCCUGGAUGUCUAAGAGUAGAGUUAGUUGCAAUGCUGCAGCAAUCUUCUUGCUUGACAAUACUGAAAUUUCUCAGCACUUCCAAACUGAGGCUGACAAGAGCUCACGCCGCUGCCAAGACAACACUAAUGAUGCUUGGCACUUCUCUACGUGAAAUCCUCGAACUUGGCUCCUCUUGACAACACACUCAGCUUGGGUUUCAGCAAAAUUACUGAUCGGCACUGAUGAAAACGCCGCAGAAGCAAAGAGAUUUGUCUAGGGCGGAAUUUGGUUCGGUGAUUGCAGUCUGCCAAACACAAUGCUUUCAAUUGUAGGCUGAAUAAGGAACCUCUCAAUCUUGUUAACAGCACCUGAAGCCAUAUUAGCAACAUCAACUGAGUCCAGGAAUACUUCAUAGUACUGGAGAGCAUUAAGCAAGUGAUGGUACGGAGGAAGUUCAAACCUUUCACACCCAUGAUCCAACAUUACCACAAUUUUAGGUGAAAGCUGCUUGAUAAAGCAGAGCAGUGAAGGCAGUAUAGUGGGUCAACUAGAAACAAACCACAAAGGAAAGUUUACAGCAAUCGUAUCACUCUCAGAUGACCUGAAUGAAGAUGCUGAAUAACCACUUGGGUCAAAAGAGUCAAAUUCACCACCUCAAGCUCGAAUUUUAUACCAAGAUCAUUAGCAAAAUGUGUUAGACUUUCAUGCAUAAGGCUAAUCUCAACCGAAUGGUAGGUUGAAGGAGAAGCAAAGGCAGUAAUCUUCAGAGAAGUUGUCCCUCUAUUUUUCCUGGGAAGCUCUUGCAUAAAAGAAGACCACUGAGCACCACAACCAAUAUCAAAGUCUAUAAUGUGAAUAUUUGCUGCAUCAUCAAGGGCUUCAAGAAGGGCCUGAUUGCGGGUAAAAUUCUUGAAUUGGAUAAGCGGUGAAACUUCAGAGAGCAUUUUACAAGCCCCCAUCUUGAAGGUGCCUUUAACAGCAUUCAUGAUGAUUAUGCUGAACGAAAUAUUAGCAAACUUGUGAGGGUAUUUAAGUCUUUUUGAUGACGAUAGUGUAAGAAAUGGGAUCUAAAAUUCUGACAGGGGAGGUUAGUGGUAUUUUUGAAACCACAGGGGAGGGGAGUGAGACUGUCAGAAACCUCAGGGGAGAUAUCUGAAAUUAUCCCUAAAAUAUACGUCACCCAAGAAAAGAAAGGGAUUAACGAUGGAUUCGUGUCAAAUAAUUUCCUGAUUGGCCACGUCAAAAUGCAAAGCCAAAGCAGGAAUUGUUUAUCCAUCAUAAAAUUUGUCAAAGUCAAUUGCACUAUGAAAUGCAAAAUCCAUUAAAACAAAAACGGAAAACCAACAAGAUCAAUUUCCUAUAGCACAAAGGUUCAAUUAAACAUUGUUAACAGAAAAGGAAAACCAAUGGGAUCAAUCUCCUAUAGCACAAGGAGGUUCAACUAGACAUUGUUCACAGGUAAAUAGAGGCCUAUACCCAUAAACCUUCAAGUUGCUAACCGAGGAGACUUGAUACUUGCAUAAACAAUCUUCUGCAUCCUCAACUCUGGAUAGUAGCACAGAAGGAGAACAACUCGAAAGGCAUGAAAGCAUUACUGCAAAGUUACCCACAUUAUCCUUGACAGCCCACCUGUUCUGGGACCAGUCGAAAUAGGAAAUACUAAACAUAUAUUUCCCAUCCUUCAAAUUUCUAACAAGGAAAACUAGUAGAAGCUGACCCUCGUAUUGAAAUAACCAAUGCCUAAUUGUAAUUGAUCCUGGGACUAACCCUUGAUGCUUCCAUGUUUUUGCUGCCAAUUCUUUUAGAGUUCGACGGUUUUGUGUGAUCACGUUCCAACGGCGGCCAACAAUGGCAAAUUUUGCUAGUUCUCCUCCGUCACAAACACAAUAAAAUUCUCCUUUUUGUUCACUAUAAACCACACUUGAAAUUGGUUCAUCGUGUAGAAUAUAAUCAACCUCAACUUUUUGUGUACACCAGUUAUCCUUACCGAAAGAAUAUGUAGCAAUGUAAGUGUCGCCAAGAUGUCGAUACGAUAUGAAAAAUACACAAUCUGGAGCAGUAGGGUUUGUGGAAAAAGUAGCAACAUCAGAAUGAUGAUCCAUCAAAGUGGGGAGCCAGAAGUAAUCAUUGGAAAUAGGACUGUAGACUAAAAAUAAGGUCUCACAUGGUACCUUAACCUUCCUAGCAAAAAGCAACCAGCCUUUUUUCGAAGCGCAUAAUUUUGCAGCGAUGAUAAAGUCGAAUAUCUUUGUCCGAUUGGCAGUUUUAAGGUUGUAUGAUUCCCUGGAACAAGGGUCAAACAGCUUUGGUUGGACAAGGUAUAGAUCCCUCUCUAAGUAGAAUAUCCAUGGUAGACUGCUUUUACGCCUAAUUCCUUUACUUUUGUCCCACCAAUCUUUGCAAACUGCACUCGAACGAACCAGGUCACCAAAGCUCAAUUUCUCCCAGAUUGUCCUGAAAAGAUCCUCAGGAAGAUCAGCCCAAGGCGCCAUGAUCAAGCUAGUCCUUAGUGUGUUUCUCUCCAUCCCAAUAUCCCAAUAUAUAUGUUUGAUGGACCUAUUUCGAGUUCUUGGUACUCAAAAAAAAAAAAAGCCCUUGUCAGUCUUCACCUUAAUAUGGAAAACUAAUAUGAGUUUGGUUGGGAAUGCAAGUCCAAUCAGGGUAGUAAACAGGGAGAUAGCGAAACACUGUUUAGCAUUAAUUUAUCCUCAACUAUGGGGCCCAAAUAAUUAAGCUCAAUUCGUUCUUUCUUGUGUUUAGCAAGGAGCCAAGGACCAAUCUGCCCUCGAGAAUUGAACUGUGCGGCUAUGCCCACAGCUCAUUGUUCUGAAUUUCGAAGCUCUAGCCUUGAUAAAGAAAUUUUGGUAAGAUAAUCGGUUUUUAUGAUGUUGUUGUUUGCUCUUGUAUUUAGAUUAUACAUUGUUUAAAUGAUUAAAAAAGAUAAAAUUCAUAAUCAACCAAAGAGUAUCUUUCACUGAUUCUAAUUGUUACACAUAAUCACUUUCCAUAAUUAGAUUUUACAUAUAAUCACUUUUCAUAAUCAAAUUCUGUAAAAUCUAAAACAAAUGGGAAUAAAGCCUAACUUGCAAAAUAUUUGACAUUUGAGGGGUAUAACUUAUACUAAAAACUUAAUUUUCAAGGGGCGUCAAAAGUUAAUUCACGAAUUUUACAACUCAAAUUCUCAGCAAUGAAACCACCAGAAUCUGCCGUUUCCGAGGAGAACCUUAGUAAUAAUACUCUAACUUCAAUUGACACAUAUAAUGCCAAUCCUUUCCAACUACAACCUUAGGAAUAAUACCUUUCUUAUUAAUUCAUCCGAAUUCACCACUAUAUGCCUUCAAUUUUUCACCAACGUUUCUUCAAAAGUAGCUAAAGAGCAUUUAUAUUUGGAUUAUACACCACAGGCGUAUGCCUAACUGAUACUCAAUGCUUGCAAAAAAAGAGAGAAGGGGGGGGGGGUUGGGUGGAGGAGGAUAAAAAGCAUAAUUUUUUUUUUCAUGAAACCAUUUGUCUUUCAUUACCACUUAUUUACCUAAGAAAAUCUCCAAUAGCAAUAUAAUAACGUGAAAGGAAGUUACUUAUUUCCAUUUUCUUGCUUCUUUUUAUUUUUCUAGAAUUACAACUGAAAAGUUAUUCUUAAGAAGGGUGAUUUUUCACCAAAAGUGUAACCAAAUAGAUAACUGUUUUCUUUAAUACAAGACUUAGCAGUGCUGUGUUGCAAAUGGGUUUUCAAUUUAUAAUGUGUUGAACCAAGAUUUUUUCCAUACGACAUGGUAGUAAUACCUCAAAUGUUCUCAUCUAAUUAGAGGGAAAAAAAAUUAGAAAUUUUGAUUUUGUUACUUACUUCCCAUAACUUUCAGGGAAUACGUUCUUUGGAAUUGUAUGAGAUAUCAGUAUCAUGUCAAUUAUUCUAUAGGAUAUGUGAGAAAAAUCUAUUUUAUUGUUCCUUCCCGACCGACAAUUAAUUUUGUUGAAGAGGCCCGAUCGAUUAUGAUGGCUUCUCUUUUCUUUCUCACUAUUUUUUCCGUUGCUGCAGACAUAAUUUUCUUCAUCGAAACAAAUUUAUCACGAAUUUAUUUCUCACUAGCUCUUGAUUCUUCCAUUUUUUGUAUGGUUGGAACAGUUUUGCCAAUUUUUGAGAACCAAGCGAAACAAAAGCAUCUCGUAAAACUUAUCGAGUCACUAGCGAUAAAAAUUACUAGCUUAAAUAUAACAUUUUCCGAAGCAUAAUAAUGUUUCUAAGAACAUUGGAAACAAGAAGUACGAUAUAGUACAAGAAGUUGGAAAGAGAAAUAUUUGGGAUGAGAUUAAAACAGACCACCAAUUUUGUAAGGAAUCCUAGAGAUAAAGCAACAGAAAAUUAAAAUUUUUGAUUCCUCAGAAAACCUUUAGCCAUGAUAAAACAUAUGCAACUAAAAGGGUUUUUAAGUGUAUUACCUCAAUCAAUGAAGAAACACACGAGCGUUUGAUGCAGAGAGAUGCGAGAGAUCCGUGUAGCCACUCAAAUGUUCAGCCUCUAACAGUGAUCCACACGAACUUUUAGCCAAAACUUCCAAACCCGAAUAAGCUUAAUCUAGAUUAGUGCUAGUUAUUGCCAAGAUACCUCUCACAAAUUGGUUGAGAAAACCCUAGUUUUUCACCAUGAAAAACUUGCCCUAACAAAAAAAUUAAGAGAUGCGAUAUUUUUCUUAUUUUUUUGGACGAAUUUUAGGUAUUUUUUCUCUCAAGAUUUUUCUCAAAAAUCUCACAAGAUAAUUUGGGUAUCCAUUAGUCUUGCAAGUAAAAGUUUAGUGAGUAUUUAUAAAUAAAUAAGUUAUCCAUAUCCUUAUUGGAAACCUGAAACCAGUUUCUAAUAGAAUUCAACUUCCUUAUUCUAAUACAACACCUGUAUUUGGAAGAUUUAAAUUUAUUUGCAAAUUAAACUAUCCAAUACAAAUUAAACUACAAGUUAUAAUACUUAUCCUUCAAGUCCCUACUUGAAAUUUAUUUAAUCCAAUUAAAUAAGUUCUUAAUGUGUGUGGCCCAUUAGAUUCCCAAAUACAUUGAUAAUAAGAACUAAUCAUAGUUUCUAAUUAAUAAGAACUAGAUAAAUUAAAAGAAUUUAUCGUUGAUUUAACUUAUCAAUCAACUCAUUCUUACAUAUCAAAAUUGGCAUCUAGUAAUGUAUCAUGACCACCCAAGUAAUGAGAAAGUCAAGUGGAUGACUUCACCUUUCAAUGAACAUAUAUCAUACAAUUAAUAUCCUUUUAUCACACUUAUCUCACAUUAAUCAUGGAAUAAGUCAUGUCAAUUUCACUAUAUGAUUACUGUUUUUUUUCGUGUACCAAAAUAUAACUUCCAAAAGAACUAGCACAUAGAAACAUCUUUCUAACAUUUAUUCACUUAGUACUAAGAUUUCUUGACUUAUAUUUCUACAAAUGCUCGUAAAUGAGAUAACUCCUCUUUCACAAGAGGUGGUAAAUUAUUAAAGAUUAUUCACUACCUUUCCGUAUUUCAAGUAUAUACCCAUAUGUUAAUUUUUUGAGCAUUCCCUUUAUGGGAGCAAACAAAUAACACAAAGUAUAACAAUCUAUACUCAAAGUACCAUGAUAAUUCUAAAUCAAAGAAUCAUGAUAAGGUGUUAAUUGUUAGUAAUUUUAUUAUUAAUUUUUCCCUGUUUCCAUGCCAAAUAUUAUUUUAAUUGUCAACAUAUACUUAUAUUUGGCAUCUGGACUCAAUUUCAGGAAGUGGAGCAGAAAAGAGAGAUUUUCUUACAACAAAUACUCCACACGUGGGAAGUUUCUAAAGAACAUACAAGCUAGGUUCCACGGGUGUAUUUGUGCUGGAAUUGAUGAUUAUAGUGGACUCCUCCGUUUUGAUAAUUGCAGAGGAAUUGAUGAUUGUGCUGGAAUUAAUUGGAAUGAUGUUUUCUUUCAUUAUCUAACGGGGACCACGUAGAAAGUCUGUCCUUAUGGUGGGAGAUGUACUCAUUAGCCAAGAUGUUGGCUUUGAUGAUUGUAGUUUUUCCAAUUGCUCCCUACGUAGAGUAGUGGGCUCAAGGAGAAAAGACUAUGAAAAAGCUAUGAAGACUAAGACUUGCCUUAUAUAUAUCGAACGAUGGCAGAAGACAAUAGGCUAGUGAGUUGUAGUUUUCUUUCAAAAUUAAGCUCCGUAGGAGGAUAGAGGAGUUUGUAGUUUUUCUCUCCGAGGGAUGUUCCAGAGGAGAGAAUAGGGAGUUGUUUUGGUUUGUUGAAUUCUAUUGUGCAAUUUUCUUAUUUUCUUCUGAGAGCUUUGUUAUUCACUCUCUCAAUUAUCGAAGAAAGAUGAUGUCUUUAAAUUCAAUUGAAUUGUGUGAAGAUUUUCGUAUGAGGCGUGGCUAAUUUUCUCAUCUAGUCAAGGAUCAACGCGAAGACUCAGUCCCAAAUAUCUGUGAGAUCUAAUUAAUUUUACGUGUUCCUUAAUUUGUUAAUAUUUGCAUGUUUUCUAUUUUAAUUUCCAUGGGAUUAUUUUGUUAAUUGGAUAUCAAGGGCCCGAUGUGCAAUUUGACUUAUUAAUCUCUUGUCAAAUUAAUCAAUUAAAUCCGUAAUUGUUUAGUUGGUUAAUAUUAGUGACAACUAGUAUUUUCACAUACUAGGGGGACAUACAAUCUGAUUUAAAUAACCCUUGUAGCGUGUUAUUAAUUUGGGUUAGGCUUUUCUAGUUUUUAAUGCAAUUAGGAAAUUAAUUCCUACGGUCGUACCUAGGAGUAUUUCCUGGUUAGAGGUAAUCAACGGUCGUACCUUGGUUAUCAAUAAAUUAAGGAAAAACUGGUCGUUAGAGUUUAUCGGCGACUAUAACUAGCCUAUUAAUUAAAUUAAGUGAACCUUCUUUGCAUCAAUGAUCAGAUGAAUGAACUGUGUCUGCGUAGUUGUAUCCUUGGCUAGAAUUUAUUUUUCAUUUAUUUAAUUGCUAUUUACAAUUGUAUAAAUUGUUUAAUUAUUUUUAGUUUAUUUCUGAUAAAAAUCCCCCGUGUCCCGAACUUGUAAAGAAUCGAAUUUUUCCCAGUCCCUGUGGAUUCGACCCUACUCACUACUAUACACAGAAAAUUUAUUUUUCUCGAGUAGGUAUUUAUUAUUGCACAGGCUCGACACCUGUCAAUUUUUGGCGCCGUUGCCGGGGACUGGCGUUAAUCAUUUGUUUCUUUUUAAGUUCAUUUUUUUCUGGUAUUUUUCUAGUUUAUGCCUCGCUCUUCUCGUACAGGCGAAUUAAUUUUCGACCCUGAAGUAGAGAAGACCGCGCGUAGAACGAGAAAAGAAACCAGGCGGCUCAGGGAGGAGCAAUACGAUAUUGCUCCUCAGGAACUUGAUCCAGAGGUUGAGCCGACAAAUUUGUCUGGUGACAAUUCAAGUGAUUCAGACCAAGAGGAAGUCACUAUGGCAAAUGCACGAACACUAAGGGAGUUGGCUGCUCCUGAUUUAAAUCAGCAGCCCUUGUGCAUUACUUUUCCACAUUUAAAUGAUGACACUCCCUUUGAACUAAAAUCUGGUCUAAUUCAUCUCUUGCCAUCUUUCCAUGGUCUAUCAGGUGAGGAGCCCUACAAGCACUUGCAAGAAUUCGACGUCGUUUGCAACAGUAUGAAGCCUCCGGGAAUUACAGAAGAGCAAAUAAAGAUGAGGGCUUUCCCCUUCUCUUUGAAGGACUCUGCAAAAGACUGGCUCUACUACCUACCGCCUGGUAGUAUCACCACGUGGGAUCAAUUGAAGAAAAAAAUUUCUGGACAAGUACUUUCCGGCGUCUCGAGCUGCGAGCCUGAGGAAAGAGAUAUGUGGUAUCAAACAACACCCUAGCGAAUCUCUCUAUGAGUACUGGGAGAGAUUUAAGAAACUGUGCACCAAAUGCCCUCAGCAUCAGAUAAGUGAGCAACUGCUCAUUCAAUAUUUCUAUGAGGGGUUGCUUUUCAGGGACAGAAGCAUAAUCGAUGCUGCAAGUGGAGGGGCGUUGGUGAACAAAACCCCUCGAGGAGCAUGGGAGUUGAUUGAAGGGAUGGCUGAGAACUCACAGCAGUUUGGUUCAAGAGAGGACAUCCCGACGCGUAAGGUGAAUGAGGUGGAAACGUCCUCUAUCCAACAGCAGAUCUCCGAAUUAACAUCUUUCGUAAGACAAUUAGCUGUAGGGAGUGCUUCACAAGUCAAAGUGUGUGGGGUGUGCACUGCCGUAGGUCAUCCUACGGAAAUGUGUCCACUGGUUCAAGAAGAAACUGCAGAACAGGUGAACAUGGCUGGCCACGCGCCCGCGCCAAGAAAGCAGUACGACCCAUACUCAAACACCUACAAUCCUGGUUGGAGGGAUCACCCCAACCUUAGCUAUGGAGGAAAUAGGCAGUCUAACUUUGUGCCAAAUAGACAGCAAGGACACCAACAGCAGUACCAUCCUCGCCCACCACCACCACUCCCUUCAAACUCAAGUCCGUCCAUGGAAGAGAUGAUGAAGCAAUUACUUGCUAAUCAACAAAAGACGGAUUCAGACCUGCAAAGCAUGAGAAAUCAACUGGGACAGGUGCAAUCAUUGCAAAAUCAAAUGAAUCAAAUGGCUAUAACAAUCAACCGUUUGGAGUCCCAAGUUCAAGGAAAAUUGCCAUCUCAACCUGAGGCAAAUCCAAAGAAUGUAAGUGCAAUGACUUUAAGGAGUGGCAAGGAAGUUCAAGGACCCGAACCGGUGAUUCCUAAAGACAAGGACGAGGAACGGAUUGAGAAAGAAUUGGAAGAGGAGGGCACAGACAACAAAAAUGCAAAGGUACCCUCGAACCCAAUUCCUACAGCUAAAACUAAUCCACCUCCCUUUCCUAGCAGGUUAGAAAAACCAAAGAAGCAAGACAAGGAAAAAGAGGUCCUGGAGAUUUUUCGCAAGGUGGAGAUCAACAUACCCCUACUGGAUGCGAUUAAACAAGUACCCAGGUACGCAAAAUUUUUGAGGGACCUGUGUGCCAACCGCAAGCGGUUGAAGGGGGAUGAACGAGUUAUAGUUGGGGAGAAUGUUUCAGCAAUUCUACAAAGAAAGCUUCCACCGAAAUACGGAGAUCCAGGUAUGUUUACUAUUCCUUGUAGGAUAGGUAAUACUUUGAUUGGGAAGGCCAUGUUAGACCUGGGAGCCUCAAUUAAUGUCAUGCCAAAGUCCAUUUAUGCCUCCUUAAACUUAGGCCCUUUGAAAGAGACUGGGAUAAUAAUUCAAUUAGCUGACAGGACCAAUGCAUACCCUGACGGGUUGAUUGAAGAUGUUUUGGUAAAAAUUAAUGAAUUGGUUUUUUCAGCUGAUUUUUAUGUGCUCGACAUGGAGGAUGAACACUCCCGUGAUCCGUCACCUGUGUUGUUAGGUAGACUCUUUUUAAGUACAGCCCGAACCAAAAUUGAUGUUAAUAAGGGUACUUUGUCUAUGGAAUUUGAUGGUGAGAUUGUUCACUUUAACAUCUUUGAGACCAUGAAAUAUCCAUCCGAUUCAAAUAUUGGCUCUGUUUUCUCGAUAAAUGUUAUUGACCCUGCUAUACAGGAGGUUUUUGAAAUUGAAGGCAGGGAUGAACUAGAGGUCGUCCUGACCAGGCACUUUGAGUCCGAAACAACUUCUAGGGUAGAGUUGAGUGAAGAGCUUAAAUGCGUGAUUGGAUCGUUGCAAACGUUACCAACCACGAAGACAAGGUAUGAUCUUGCACCGAUUUUCAUACCCGAACCUCACCAAAGGUUACUUCCAUCUGUGGUGCAGGCACCUGUCUUGGAACUAAAACCACUGCCGAAACACCUAAAGUAUGUAUACUUAGGUGAAGGGGAGACACUUCCAGUGAUCAUCUCCGCGGGUUUAUCAAAGGUGCAAGAAGAGAAACUACUUCGAGUUCUUAGGGAACAUAAGCAGGCGAUAGGAUGGACCAUCGCCGACAUCAAGGGAAUUAGCCCUGCGGUGUGUAUGCACCGAAUUCGACUCGAGGAGAAUGCUAAACCCGUACGGCAAGCUCAACGGAGAUUAAAUCCUCUCAUGAUGGAAGUCGUAAAGAAAGAGAUUUUAAAACUGCUGGACGUUGGAAUUAUAUUUGCAAUAUCAGAUAGCCCGUGGGUAAGUCCAGUACAGGUGGUCCCGAAGAAGGCAGGGGUGACAGUGGAAUCAAACCAAGAGGGUGAGCUCGUACCAAUUCGAAAGCCCACCGGAUGGCGACAGUGUAUCGAUUACCGAAAGCUAAAUGCCGUCCCGAAAAAGGACCAUUUUCCCCUCCCUUUCAUUGACCAGAUGGUGGAGCGAUUAGCAUGUCGAGCUUACUAUUGUUUUUUGGAUGGAUUUUCAGGUUAUUUUCAAAUUGCCAUCGCACCCGAGGACCAAGAGAAGACUACUUUCACCUGCCCAUUUGGAACAUUUGCAUACCGAAGGAUGCCAUUUGGAUUGUGUAAUGCACCUGCUACCUUUCAAAGAUGCAUGGUAAGUAUCUUUUCAGAAUAUGUUGAGAAGAUUAUUGAGGUUUUCAUGGACGAUUUUAGUGUAUAUGGUGAAAGUUUUGAAAACUGUCUAGAUAACCUGAAAUUGAUCUUAGUAAGGUGUAUAGAAACUAAUCUCGUGCUUAAUUGGGAAAAAUGUCAUUUUAUGGUUGAACACGGGAUAGUUUUGGGUCAUGUUGUAUCAUCUACAGGUAUUGAGGUUGAUAAGGCAAAAAUAGAUGUUAUAUCUACUUUACCUUACCCAGCGAGUGUGCGGGAAGUUCGUUCUUUCUUGGGUCACGCAGGUUUCUAUAGAAGAUUCAUCAAGGAUUUCUCGAAAAUUGGAGCACCCUUGUUCCAACUUUUGCAAAAAGAUGUAUCCUUCGAAUUUGAUGAAGCAUGUAAGGGGGCAUUCAAUAAGUUAAAGGAGUUAUUGAUCACCUCACAUAUUAUCCAACCCCCUGACUGGAACCUCCCAUUCGAGAUCAUGUGCGACGCCAGUGACUAUGCAGUUGGUGCGGUAUUGGGUCAAAGAGUAGGAAAAGCAGCUCAUGCUAUUUACUACGCAUCUCGAGCCUUGAACGGAGCUCAAUUGAACUAUUCAACCACCGAAAAGGAGCUUUUAGCGGUUGUUUUUGCCUUAGAAAAAUUUCGGUCUUAUUUACUUGGUGCUAAAGUUAUUAUUUUUUCUGAUCAUGCAGCUUUACGGUAUUUAUUGACCAAGAAAGAGGCAAAACCGCGAUUGAUACGGUGGAUAUUGUUGUUACAAGAAUUCAACCUGGAGAUCCGAGAUAAGAAAGGGGCGGAGAAUCUGGUAGCAGAUCACUUGAGUCGAGUACAAGUCGUCGAAGAUGACAUCCCAUUGAGAGAAGCAUUCCCCGAGGAGCAUUUAUUUUCUAUUAACUCAUCUUUGCCUUGGUAUGCAGAUAUUGUUAAUUUUCUAGUCACUGACAAAUUUCCUACAGGAUGGCCUAAGGCAAAGAGAGACAAGUUGAGGAGCGAUGCAAAGUUCUACAUUUGGGAUGAUCCUUACCUCUGGAAGCGGGGUGCUGAUCAAAUCAUCCGUAGAUGUGUAAGUGAAGUUGAAUUUCAAUCUAUUCUAGCCUAUUGUCACUCUUUUGCAUGUGGAGGUCACUUUGGACCAAAGAGAACGGCUCGUAAGGUGCUAGAGAGUGGAUUCUAUUGGCCAACUCUAUUCAAGGAUGCCUACUCAUUUUGUAAGUCAUGUGAUAAGUGUCAAAGAGUGGGUAAUAUCUCUCGUAGGGAUCAAAUGACUCAAACCCCAAUGAUUUUUGUUGAAAUUUUUGACGUUUGGGGCAUUGAUUUUAUGGGUCCUUUUCCUUCGUCCUUUGGUUUUUUGUAUAUAUUGCUUGCUGUAGAUUAUGUUUCGAAGUGGGUAGAAGCAAAGGCUACCCGCACUAAUGAUUCCAAAGUGGUUGCAGAAUUCGUUAAGUCUAAUAUUUUUGUUCGCUUUGGGAUGCCGCGAGCAAUUGUAAGUGAUCGGGGUACUCAUUUCUGCAACAAAACGAUCGCUGCAAUUUUUAGGAGAUAUGGUGUCUUGCACAAAGUCUCUACAUCCUACCAUCCUCAAACAAAUGGUCAGGCGGAAGCAUCGAACCGAGAGAUCAAAUCAAUUCUAGAAAAGAUGGUCCGACCCGAUAGGAAGGAUUGGAGUGUGAGACUAGAUGAUGCACUAUGGGCAUAUAGGACGGCAUAUAAAACACCCAUUGGCAUGUCCCCUUACCGAUUGGUAUUUGGAAAGCCAUGUCAUCUCCCGGUCGAGUUUGAGCAUAGAGCAUUUUGGGCGGUCAAACAAUGCAACAUGGAUAUCGAGGAAGGCGGAAUUCAAAGAAAGUUACAAUUACUAGAGUUGGAAGAAAUCCGAAAUGAAGCAUACGAGAAUGCAGUGAUCUAUAAGGAGAAGAAUCGGAUCUUUCAUGACCAACAGAUCUCUAGGAAGACAUUCGUCUGCGGGCAAAAAGUUUUACUAUACCACUCCAAAUUGAAACUAUUUCCAGGUAAAUUACGUUCUCGUUGGAUUGGCCCUUUUGUUGUGACUAAUGUCUUUCAUUAUGGUGCAGUAGAGAUCCAAAGUUUGAAGACGGAGAAGAAAUUUGUGGUGAAUGGUCACCGUCUCAAGCCGUAUUAUGAAGGAUUUCCAGUUGAGCGGGUAGAGAUGAUGCAUUUGGAGGACCCAAUUUGCUUAGUUUAAGCAAAUUACGGGUUAUGUCUAGCCAAAGACACUAAAGAAAGGCGCUAGUUUGGGAGGCAACCCGAAUAUUAGUCUUGUUAUUUUUAGUUGUCUUGUUAUUUCUAGUUGUUCUUCUUUUGCACCAAGUCAUUUACUCGUUGGGUAGUAUCUGUAUUAAUAUUUCUUUCACUGCAAUCAGGAAGUGAAAUCUUGGCGUGCCCGCGCGGUGUUUGAGUUUUCUGAGACCAGAGGACGAAAACCAAUCUUGGCGUGCCCGCGCGGUGUUUGAGUUUUCUGAGACCAGAGGACGAAGACUAAUCUUGGCGUGCCCACGCGGUGUUGGACGACCCAAACCAUGUUUUUGCAAUAAAAAAAAAAAAAAAAAUUUCCUCUUCUCUUUUCUUUUUCUUCUUUCUUUCUUUCUUUUCUUCUUUCUUUCUUUCUUUCUUUUUCUUUCUUCUUCGGCUGCGAACCUCACCCCACCGCCGCCCACCCCAGCUCUAACCGCCGCCCACCCAGCUCUUCUCGCCGCUGCCUCGGCUCUCCUCGUCAAGGGUGACCACCAGCUCAUCUGACCUCCUUCACCCUUGCCAUAGCCACCGCCUCCAAGAUCCGCCUGAAGCCCCGAAAGCCGCGCACCACCAGAUCCAGCUGCCGCAAACUCUUCUCUCCCAUAGCCACCACCUUCAUCGCACCACUGGCUUCGUAUGCACGCGCCUGCCUCAAUCUUUUUCUAUUAUUAUUUUUUAUUUUCUUAUUUUAUUAUUGCAGUAUGUUUUUAUUAUUUUUAUUACAAUACGUUUUUGAAAAUUUUGCGUGUUUGGACUACCUGACAUUUCUAUUCCUCCUUAGUUGGGUACUUCUGUGUUACUUUGCUUGUUUCUUUUUACUUUGCUUGAUUUUUAUUUAUUUAGUAGAUUGACUUGUGGUUAGUCGUGUGAUUUUUAGAAUUGAAUGUCCAAUCGUUAAUCAUUAUAUAUAUAUAUUUUAGGUCGAAUUGUGUUUAAUCUGCUGUACUUUGUGUUUAACUGUGGGUAAUUUGCUACAGUUGUUUGUUCAAUUGGGAGGUGCCUUUAACACUUAUAUUUACUUAUUGAAGUAGAUUGCCUUCAACUGCCUUAUAUGAGAACUUUUUUUUUUUCUUUUUUUUUCUGUUUGCAUUUCAAUUACUACAUUGAUUGGGGUGAUUAUGAGGUGCAUUAUUAUUACAUUUGGCUAAGUUUGGAACCACGAGUGUUUAUUGAUUGCAUUUGUUAUAAGUGUUGGGAUAUCUGUAUAACUUGUGAGUGAAUGCAGUGUGCAUUUUGUUCAUUGAAUUGAUUUUUCAUUUGUUAGUGCUUUGAAUUUCUUGUUUCCAUUAUUCGUUAGCAACUGUUGUCUAUUGUGGUACGGAAUGCAAUUUGGAAAGAAUGGUGAAACCACGAUCCCGACCCUUUGACCUCCGCUCCGCCUCCUCCAACUACAGGUGCUAAUAGCUGGCACCAGCUUCAGGGGAGUUUCGUUGUCCAUCUUCUUAUUUUUACUAAUUAAUUAUCACAUUGAGGGCAAUGUGUACUUUAAGUGUGGGGGGGAUUUGGAUUUGAUUGGAGUUUCUUUAAAUUGUUGCUUUUCUUAUUGUCGUCUUGAUGAAUAAAUGUGGCAACUCACUCUUCUAUUGCCGGUUGUGAUUUAUCCUAUGAAUUUUGUUUAGAUGGCAAGUAAAAGCAUAUUAUCUUGGUGAAUAUUAUGAGUUUAAUGACUUGGUGCAAAUUGUGGUUAAAUUGUUUAGGCAAUAUAAAUAUUUUACUAGCAAUUGUUGUGUGAAUUGGGCAAUUGUUGAUCUUAGUUCUCCAUAUUAGGAGAUGACGUGGGUCAUGAUCUUUAAUUAUAUGGUAUUCUGAUGCUUUAAUUAUGGUUAAUAAAUGACUCUACUCCGCUAGUGCCGUCACCCAGUAACCGGGAGUUUUCACCACAAGUGUCGACUCUCGCGUCAAAAAGUGGCGAUAUCUAUGAGUAGUUAGUCCUGAAGCUGUGAAAAGUUGAGUAACUGGGCUCUUUCAUCUAAAAAUGUCAGAAUUCACGUCAAAAGACUUGAAUAGCUUGGGACUGAGCAUUUUGUGAAAAAAAAAAAGAAAAGAAAAGAAAAGAAAAGAAAAUAAUAAGUAAGCUUAUGAUCAUGUUGGCCUGCCGAUCCUUGUUCUUCAAUGUUGAGAUUUUGAUUUUCAGUUGACCCAAUUGCUAACUUUUGCUAGUUUAAUAUUUUGAUUUCUUAGACGAGUUAGCUAUGAAUUGGACGAGUCUAUGAUUUCAGGAGCUAACCGGGAGAAAUAUGUCUUGACACUUAGCCACUAAAACUUGAUUUUGGGAUAAGCGUAGCUUGGCAGUAAAUGAAAUGAGAGUUAGCCAUUGUUGAAUUUAGUUGUUCCCAUGCUUGAGGACAAGCAUGAUUUAAGUGUGGGGGAAAUUGAUAAGGUGUUAAUUGUUAGUAAUUUUAUUAUUAAUUUUUCCCUGUUUCCAUGCCAAAUAUUAUUUUAAUUGUCAACAUAUACUUAUAUUUGGCAUCUGGACUCAAUUUCAGGAAGUGGAGCAGAAAAGAGAGAUUUUCUUACAACAAAUACUCCACACGUGGGAAGUUUCUAAAGAACAUACAAGCUAGGUUCCACGGGUGUAUUUGUGCUGGAAUUGAUGAUUAUAGUGGACUCCUCCGUUUUGAUAAUUGCAGAGGAAUUGAUGAUUGUGCUGGAAUUAAUUGGAAUGAUGUUUUCUUUCAUUAUCUAACGGGGACCACGUAGAAAGUCUGUCCUUAUGGUGGGAGAUGUACUCAUUAGCCAAGAUGUUGGCUUUGAUGAUUGUAGUUUUUCCAAUUGCUCCCUACGUAGAGUAGUGGGCUCAAGGAGAAAAGACUAUGAAAAAGCUAUGAAGACUAAGACUUGCCUUAUAUAUAUCGAACGAUGGCAGAAGACAAGAGGCUAGUGAGUUGUAGUUUUCUUUCAAAAUUAAGCUCCGUAGGAGGAUAGAGGAGUUUGUAGUUUUUCUCUCCGAGGGAUGUUCCAGAGGAGAGAAUAGGGAGUUGUUUUGGUUUGUUGAAUUCUAUUGUGCAAUUUUCUUAUUUUCUUCUGAGAGCUUUGUUAUUCACUCUCUCAAUUAUCGAAGAAAGAUGAUGUCUUUAAAUUCAAUUGAAUUGUGUGAAGAUUUUCGUAUGAGGCGUGGCUAAUUUUCUCAUCUAGUCAAGGAUCAACGCGAAGACUCAGUCCCAAAUAUCUGUGAGAUCUAAUUAAUUUUACGUGUUCCUUAAUUUGUUAAUAUUUGCAUGUUUUCUAUUUUAAUUUCCAUGGGAUUAUUUUGUUAAUUGGAUAUCAAGGGCCCGAUGUGCAAUUUGACUUAUUAAUCUCUUGUCAAAUUAAUCAAUUAAAUCCGUAAUUGUUUAGUUGGUUAAUAUUAGUGACAACUAGUAUUUUCACAUACUAGGGGGACAUACAAUCUGAUUUAAAUAACCCUUGUAGCGUGUUAUUAAUUUGGGUUAGGCUUUUCUAGUUUUUAAUGCAAUUAGGAAAUUAAUUCCUACGGUCGUACCUAGGAGUAUUUCCUGGUUAGAGGUAAUCAACGGUCGUACCUUGGUUAUCAAUAAAUUAAGGAAAAACUGGUCGUUAGAGUUUAUCGGCGACUAUAACUAGCCUAUUAAUUAAAUUAAGUGAACCUUCUUUGCAUCAAUGAUCAGAUGAAUGAACUGUGUCUGCGUAGUUGUAUCCUUGGCUAGAAUUUAUUUAUCAUUUAUUUAAUUGCUAUUUACAAUUGUAUAAAUUGUUUAAUUAUUUUUAGUUUAUUUCUGAUAAAAAUCCCCCGUGUCCCGAACUUGUAAAGAAUCGAAUUUUUCCCAGUCCCUGUGGAUUCGACCCUACUCACUACUAUACACAGAAAAUUUAUUUUUCUCGAGUAGGUAUUUAUUAUUGCACAGGCUCGACACCUGUCAAAUCACUUAUAUAAAACGUCAUUUAGAGAUUAAUUCUUUUGGCACAAAAGAAAUCUCUAUGCGGAUCAAUAUAGUGAACUUAAUUAUGCUAUCAAGCACUCAUAUACGUACUAAUUUAGUGUCUCACACACUAUAGUAGAUGAGCUUUACUACUUCUCUAAUAGAUGCGACAUAGUAUAUGCUAGUUUAACUAUAUUAACAAUGUUUCAAUCUUGUUAAUACUUUGACUAGAGAUAUUUAAAAAUAAAUUUUAUAUUUAAUCAAAUGAACCUCAUCAUCACAACAUUUAUGAUUUUAUUGAUCAAGUUUAUUCUAGGAAAUCUAUCAUACAAAUAUAAAUAUACAAGCAAUCAAUAUGAUAAAGAUGUUAUUUAUUAAUGCAUAAAUAGUUCAAAUACAUAUAAAAUUCCUAAAAGUGAUUGUCUUUAGAGCAUACAUAAUUUCAAAUUCAUGGGUCCUUACCACAUAAUCAUUUUCAGUUGAUUAGGGAGCAAUCUAAUUACAGAAGGAUUCUUAUUUAAUCACAUUUGACUUGGGACAAACGCAAUAUGGUGCAAAACGUUUGGCAUCGCAACCCUUCAUUAGUUUACGGUUAUGAGAAGGGAUGCCAUGAAGAAGAGGCUCGAGAGUUGGUGUUGCACGGUCGACAUCUGCAGCCGCCAACUGGGUAAAGGAACCUGGAACUGAAUCAUCAUCUGCCACUACUUCUAAAUGAAGGUGGACACUUAGGUUCCGUUUGAUAAAACUGAAUCUGAAUACUGAAAUAAUUAAUUUGCUGAAUUUUAAGCACUGAAAAAAAUAUAUGAAUGUCUGAAUGUUAAUGCUAAACCUAUUUAUGCUGUUUGAUAAAUAUUUAUAGCUGAAUGCUUAAUAAGUUUAAUUUGACAAUUUUGCCCUUAUAUCCUUUCAUUCAAAAAAGAAAUAGAAUCUAUGAUUUAAUUAGUUUAAAAUUGUUAGGUAUGAAAAUGACAAUAUUUAUUUUUAAAUCAAAUUAAUAUAAAAGAUGAAAUAUAUUAUAUGAGGAGUAUGGAGAAGAUGUGAAAGUCAUUAAAAAGGGAGAAAAGAGAAACUAAAAAUCGUUAGAUAGAGGAUACUAUGUUUUUUAAUUAGAUAAGAAUUUUGAACAUAAUUAACAAACAAUGGUAGAUUUGGUAGAUAAGAUAAGGUAGUUGAAGUAAUUCUAUUGAUUCUUAUCAGAAUUAAGCAUUCAGUUAGGAUUCUUGUGCUGAAAAAAAUACACACAGGUUCAGCACUGCUUAACAAGUUCAGCAUAUAGAUUUUCAUUUAUCAAAUACUCAAAACAUCUGAAUGUCUGAAAAAAUUCAGAUUCAGCACUUUUUUAUGUUAUCAAAUAGACCCUUAGUGCUAACAUGCCUGUUAUUGCAACUAUUAGCAACCCAAUCUUGGCCAUUGCAAAACUUAAUUAAAUUAAAUUAAAUUACUACUAUUAGAUAGGCCUAUUCUGAACAAUGAAGUAUAUAUACAUACAUAUAUAUAUAUAUAUAUAUAUAUAUAUAUAUAUAUAGGUUUGUCUUCAGAUGUAGUUUAGAUGUUAAGAUGUACUUUAGAUGUUAGAUUUUUAGAAAUAUUAGAUUAAUUAUGGAAAGCAUAUAUAUGCAAGGGGACUAAUUAGUGAAAUUGUAUAAAUAUAAGAGAAAGUAGUAAUUAUUAGCAUGUGUAUAUAUAUGGUAGGUUGGCUGGUUGAGUGGAAUGUAGGUGUGUUAACGAAUGCCUUAUAGGCACCUGUUAGAAGAAUCCUAUAAAAAUAUAUAUAUAUGUGUGUGCGUGUGUGUGUAUGUAUGUAUAAUGUAUUUAUGUAUAUAUGUAUGUAUGUAUGUUUGUAUGUAUGCAUGUAUGUAUAUGUAUAUAUAGAAUUUUAGAAACAAAGUUGUUUGAAUAUGAUUCACAAAAUAGUUUAAAAAGCUAUACAUAACUCCCUCAUAAUUUGGAUUAAAGUGUCAAAAUUACAUAAUUUGCAUUUCAUAACGGAGUCAAUUAAAAUAUCAAAAGUACCCCUUUGUGAAGUUGGAAAUUAUUAAUUAACCACAAGGGGUUAUGUAUAUAUUUUGAAAACUAUAAGGGGGUUAUGUAGUAAAGUACUAAACCAUAAGGGAGUUAUGUAGUAAAAUAUAAAAUCACAAGGGGUUAUAGUGUCAUGUAAAUUAAGUUUAUAUAUGUUGGUCACUUCAAUCAUUUUAAUUUUUAAACAAGGAUAUUCUCGAUAUUUAAUUUGGAUUCCAUUGUGGAUGAUCAUUUCCAUUGCAUUAACACUUUAAUUCAAAUUAUAAGGGGAUUGUGUAUAGAUUUUGAAACUAUAGGACGGUUAUAUAGAAAAUCGCUAAACCACGGGAGGUAAAGUGUAUUUUACCCUAAAGAAAUAUGAAAUAUGGCUAUAUGCACUUGUUAUAGUGGGUUACCUGCGGUGCACUUGUUAUGCAGCUAACGUAGCAAUAUGAAAAGAUAUACAGUAUGUGGUACAUAUGGAUUGAAAUAUUAUGAAAAUUUGUCAAUUGAUUAUUUGCAAGUAUCGACACCUAAAUGCAGACGAUCAUAUGCUCAUUUUCUCAUAGGUAAAUUUUGCAUGUGUCAAAACACAUAAUGGAUUCCACGUUAUUUAUUUCUUUGAUCUUGCUAUUCUUUAUGUGUUAACUACUACGAAUAUUAAAUGCGUUCUUGCUUCACAGGUCAUAUAGUUUUUUUUCAGCUCUCCAGAGCUAGAAAAUCCUGGGACAGAAUGGAAAAUCUGGGUUCUAUAGCGAUGAUUUGCAAUGCGACUAUUCGUUUCUCCUGAAGCAAGGACAAGAAAGAAUCAAAGCAUAGUGCAUCGCUUGGAGUCCAUGACAUAUCUGCAAGACUGCAACAAUAUAGAUCAACAAUUGCAGAUUCAAGGAGGUUCACUUUAGUUGGCAAAAAUACGCUAGAAGCAUAUUUGCCUGGAAUGGGACUUGAAUAUCUAAUUUCCGGCAAGUCCGAAUGAAGCAUAUUUAUCGGAAAGCAAAAAAUAUUGCAGACACGCUUGCAAGGAUUGGUGGAAAAAGCUUUUGUCAUACUUUUCAACUUUUGUUGACUGCCCUUCUCAACUAAGACCAAUUUUGAUUGAUGAGCUGAGGGGUGUGAGCUACCUCAGAUCUGUGUAAUGACUUGACUUGUAUAUAUAUGGACAAGGGGCCUGGACGGUUGUCUCACGGCUUGGAUGAAGCCUCAAAAAUUUGUGCGGCUCAGAUCACGUCUUGUAACUCGAUUUUCACGCCGUGUGGAACCCACAAAAAUGUUGUUUUAUUUUACUCGCUGUUGUUCAAUUGUUACACCUUGUACAGAUGAUGUUACACCAUGUACAAAUGGUGUUACACCUUCCGGAGCGGUUGUCAUAUGUAUACGCACACAUGCUACAGGGACUUUGCCCAACGAGUAGCACGUCCUUAAAUGGUGCGAAGAGGGGUCAUUUCAAAAGUUGGAUAUUUUUAGUUCUUUAAAAUAUGCUAAUACCUUCACCUUGUGGUUGUCUUCUGCACAAUGCCAUGCCAGCUGGUUUUUUAUUUCCUUUGGGUUUACCUUGUUCACACUAAUCUCAUGGCAGCAAGAAAAAGCAAUCUUCUAUAUUUUUUUGGAAUUCUUUUGGUAAAGAAAAAUUUGUAUGUGGUGAACUCCUGUUACUCCAUGAAUCAAAGCAUUGUAGACACCCUAUUUUUUUCAAAUUUUUUUAAAAUUUUUAUUAUGUCUUUGUUUACAUCAUUGUUUAAACAAUCAUUUUUAUUUUUAUUUUUGUAGGAAAAAGCUAAAAUGAAAAGAAAAAAAAAACAGAAAUGAAAGUGCAGUUUUGCCAAAAAAAAAAAAUUAAUUUUUUUCAACCGCGCGCGCGCCAUCCUCUCAUUUUUGCAGCCCAGGAGUAGGAAACGAGUACAAGGAAGUGGAAUUGCAGCUGCCAUUUUUCGUCUAAUUUCCAUUUGAUUUUUUUUUUUUUGCCUUUUUCUUUCCUCCAAGCCUUGCUAGUAUGAUGCCAACUCAUAUCAACAAGAAUCAUCAUCAAAGAUCUAGAAAAUCAGCCAUCUAAUGGCCCUCAAAUUCAAAUGCCCCAAAAACCCAGCUUUAUGUGUCCCAAGAAAGUCAAUUCUUUUAACCAGAAUUCGCACUUGCUGAACUUAGCAUACAAUUGAUGCUCCCUUAAGGUCUGCAAAACAACCCUCAAGUGAUUCUCAUGGUCUUUCACAUUCUUGGAAUAUACCAAAAUAUCAUCAAUAAAGACCACCACAAAUUGAUCCAGAUAAGGUUUAAAAACCCUAUGCAUUAAAUCCAUAAAAGCAGCAGGAGCAUUUGUUAACCCAAAUGGCAUCACGGCAAACUCAAAAUGCCCAUAUCUCGAGUUAAAAGCAGUUUUAGGUAUGUCCUCCUCCAAAAUCCUCAACUGAUAGUAACCCUGUCUCAAAUCCAACUUAGAGAAUACUACAGCCCCUUGUAAUUGGUCAAACAACUCAUCAAUGUGGGGCAGCGGGUAUUUAUUCUUAGUUGUAACAUUAUUCAAUCCUCUAUAGUCUAUACAUAGUCUCAAACUCCCGUCCUUUUUCUUAACAAACAAAACUGGGGCUCCCCACGGAGAAUCACUCUCUUUAAUAAAACCCCUUUCUAGCAAAUCUUGUAAUUACAAUUUCAACUCCUUCAAUUCGGCUGGGGCCAUUCGAUAUGGCGUCCUAGAAAUAGGGGCUACUCCCGGAGUUACAUCAAUCUUAAAGGCUAUUUCCCGUUCCGGGGGUAGAGAUUCCAAUUCUUCAGAAAAAACAUCAGGAAAGUCUUUCACUAUAGGCAUGUCCUCCAAAUUCACCUUAUCACUAGGGGUGUUAAUAAGAAAAGCCAAAUAUCCUUGAGCUCCUUUACUUAGUAAUUUUCUAGCCCGAAUUCCUGAAAUAAGUGCAGACGAAACUAAUUUACCCCUUACAUCCAAUUUCAGGGUUGCUUCUCCUGGAAUACGCAACUCCACAACCUUCGUCCUACAGUUUAGCUGAGCAUUAUAACGGGCUAACCAAUCCAUCCAUAAGAUUACAUCGUAUCCCUUAAUCAUCAAUCCCAUCAAAUCAGCCGAUAAUUUUCGCUCCCCAAUCCAGACUUCACAAUCUUGAUACACCAAGUUAGCCAUUAGACUUUGAUCCCCAGUAGGCGUUUUAACCUCUAGAUCAUAUGGUAACUUAAUUGGCUUCAAGUCUAUCCCACUCAUGAAAUUAGGGUUUACAAAAGAAUGUGUAGCACCUGGAUCAAUUAAAACCCUAGCUAAACGGUGAAAGAUUGGAAUCGUACCUUCUACCACCUCAGUUGCCUCAGGAACUUGUUGAUAAUCCAGUGCAUAAACCCUGACCGGUACUUUCGGUCGACUUCCUCCGACACUGGUUUGCUUAGAGGCUGACUUUUCUGGUCUUUGAGCAUUUCCCCCUGUCUUUGGUGAUUUUGGACAAUUGGUCACUUGAUGUUCAGUACUACCACAAAAUAAACAUUUCCCCGACUUUCUCCAGCAAUCGUUCUCAGAAUGGUUGGAUUUACCGCAGUAUCCACAUGUAACUUGAGGAGUCACAGCCGAUCCAAUAGGAGGUGCUCCCCUAACUUGAGUUGUUCCACUACGGCCCCCUCUAGUUAGAGCUCCCCUAGAAGCUCCAACAGACUUCACUCCUCCAACUCAGCCAUCUAUCUUGGAAGGUUGUGCACUCUUACUUGCUUGACCAGAGGUAUGACUAGGAAAGUUUCUUUUUCUACUGUGGAAGUCUCUCACUUGCAUCCUUGCAUUUUCUACCCUCUGAGCUUUCUCUAGUGCCUCCGUGAAUGUAGAGAUUUGGGCUGCAGCCAAACCCUCUUGUACCUCCACAUUAAGUCCCUGAAUAAAUCGUCUAACCUCUUUCGUUCAUUGACCACUAGCUCAGGGGCAUACUUGAAAAGUUUAGUGAAUUUUCCUUCAUACUCCGCUACACUAAGAGUUCCCUGUUUCAGCUUGAUAAAUUCAUCCUCCCUCUUCUCUUGGAUUAAGGGCAGAAGAAACUUUUCAUUAAAUUCCCUUGUAAAAUUCUCCCAAGUCCACGGGGUUUGAGUUCUCUCCUAUUUUCCUUUUAUCAGAUCCCACCAAGCACGGGCUACUCCCUCAAAUUGAAAAGCAGCGAAAUUCACUCGCCUAUCUUCAGUGUAGUCUAAAGCAGCGAAUAUGUUGGUCAUCCUUUCCAACCAAUUCUCCGCCACCUCAGGAUCAGGUUCGCCAAGAAACUUAGGCGGGUUAAAUUUCAAGAACCUCUCUAAGGCUCUAUCCUCUCCUCUUUCUUGACCCCCAGGUUGGUUAAAUGGUCCAGGGCCUUGUCUAUCAGCUAGGCGCUCUAGUAUAUCAGUCAUCCUAUUAAUGGCAGUAGCCACUUGAUUACCCUCAAUAUUUUCCUGACCUUGGAUCGGUGCAGUUGCCGAUCCCUGGUCACCCCUUUGAGGUUGGGCCUGUCUAGUCCCUCGCCCACGACCUCGACCACGGCCUCGACCACCUCUUAAUCCUUCCAUAACCUAGGCGUGCCUAGUGCAAGAAUAAAUAAAUUAUGCGAUGCAAAGUAAAGAGUAGGAACAAAUCAAGAAAACAUUGGAAUUAACAAUAAUUUACAUUCAUUAGCAUAUCAAGUUCAUACAAUUAGCAAGUCAUGGGGUAGUCACAAAAUAUAACACACAGGUGCCACAAGAGUACUUUCAGUCACAGAAGACUAAAGUAAAGCAAGUGCUUCCAAAAAUAGGUCACACAGUCAUGCAAAAUACAAUGGCCUCAGCACUUAGCAUCACCCCUGCUAAUUCUAGCUAUACAAGUCAAAAGAGUCAAAAGAGUGGUCAAACUGCCUAGACCUAGUCCACAGUAGGACUAUCAGGAGGAACCUCCUCCUCAGGAUCCUCCUCCUCAGGGCUAGGAGCUACCUCCAUCGCAUCCUCCACUAGCCUAGUGGCAUUAGGUACAAUAUCGGAAGCCCUACUACGGACCUCCUCCCUCAACCUAGUAAGCUGAGCCCUAGUACUCUGAAGCUCAUCACGGACCACAGCAGAUGUGGCCACCUCACCCUCGAUCACCUCCUCGAGCUCGGCAAUCCGCUCACCCUGAGCGCUAACCAUCUGUCUGAGCUCAUCCACCUCUGCCUGAAGAUCUCUAUUAAGAUCCACUAGCUGACGACGCUCGUCGUCCAGAGCAAGCACAAGGUAGUUCGGGUAAGCAAAGGUAACCCUACAAGCACAUCGGGGGUAUCGAGUAGCAGGCGAGUAGCGUACACGAGCUCCCCCACCUAAAGCUCGGUAGUAGAUAGGCCUAGGAGGCGCUACAUGACCAUUCGCAUGGCCAUUCGCAUGGAAAAUUUCAGUUUUGUUAUGAAUCUUUGAAAAAUCGUAACUCACUCGGCAUAAGUCGAGAAUUGGAAAACUUUAUACCGUUGGAAACCUCUUAGAAAGUACUACAAGUUCCUAGAAGACACUUUUCCAUGAAUCGAAGUGGAAAGUGCUCAAAAAUGAGCUUAAAGUUGCUGUUCCAAAUCACCCAGGAUUGAGCCGGGGUUGGUUUUUCGCUAACUUUGAAAAUUCGGCAGAAUUCACUCGUUGCAAACCAUCCCUUGAAAUUUAUAGCUCAAUUAGAGGUGCAAGUAAGGUUUAGGGUAGAACAAGAGGAUCGAGAAUCGGAGUUUCGAGCACCAAGAUAUGGUAGCUCAAAGUUGGGUAAAUUUCAAGACUGUUAACAAAUUUCCAGAUUUGGUUCCGACUUUGGACCUUUAGUUAAGUGUCGAAACGGACUUGGAUUGAUACCA
RNAcentral lists this long non-coding RNA (87940 nucleotides) under Coffea arabica (coffee). RNAcentral's name for it is "long non-coding RNA (CARA_LNC001977)". The record is from RNAcentral. Lineage: Eukaryota; Viridiplantae; Streptophyta; Magnoliopsida; Gentianales; Rubiaceae.